UUUUUUUCUUUUCUUUAUCAACCUAUGAUACCUAUUGAGAACAAGUGGACUGUACGCAUCCCUAUUUUACCCUUUUGGUGCAGACCCUAGUUGAGUGUGACUCAUGAUAACUGAGUUUGUGUGAUCAGAGUUGACAUUUUGAGGUACUACUGAGCUUCUAAGUUAGGGGUAAAUUCUGGCCAUCAUCUUAUCCUAGUUGUCUUUAUUUACUUUUCAGUGACAGAGUUAUGUAUUUCCAACUUUAUUGAGCUAUAUUAGAUGUUAUUUACAUUUGUGACAUUUAUCUCUGGGGAUUUGAUAUAUUUUAUUGGAAUUCUUGUUAUUUAUGGGUUAUGACUUGGUUUAUUUCUAUAAGUUUUGCAUUUAUAUGUUCAUUUUAUAUAUGCUUAGAAGUCUCGCAUUUAUGAGUUCAUUUUCUUAUUCUCGAUUAUUCUUAAUUUGUAGGAUUUUGCUUACCUGCUAAGGCUGGGCCGAGGUGGGUAUUAUCAAGACCUCAACUUUAGGGUUGUGACAGAUUGUCUUCAGAAUUGGAUACUGGUGUAUCAUAGAGUCCGUAGUCACAUAUUUGCAAACUCAACAUAUCUCAAAAUGCAAGCUUUGUGGAAUUUUUAAGGACCUUCCUUAAAAAUUUUUCCCUAGUUUAGAACCCUUGAAUUUUGGUGCACUACCUGACACUACUUUGUAUAGAAUUUUUGAGACAUUACCAAAUUUCUGCCUUUGUUUUGUCUUCAACAAUCUUUUGCAUUAAAUAUGUAAAAAAAUAUAUCUUCUUUUAUGAAAUUUUUAAGACCUUCUCAAAAAUUCUACCAGUUUCAAUUGUAAAGAAAGAUAGAAAUCUUACAGGGAAUAUAAUAGAGCCUUUAAGACACCUACAUAUCCCGUUGAGUCUAGAAUCAAGCAAAACAUAGUCUCCAAAACAUUUGAAAUGAAAUAAUGGACAAAAAACUUUCAAAGAAAAAUAUAUGUGUGACUCAUAAAAUCAAAUGAACAUGCAUGAAAAAAAGUAGGUAGCAUAUAACACAAAACCAAUGUAUUACGCGUGCUAAUAUAUGUGUGAACUUUUAAGCCUAACGAUUUAAAGAUGUAUAUGUUGCUUAUAAAACAUCCCAUUGCCUCCAAAAAUUAUAUAUACAAAUUGAUUAAAAUAAUUAAGGAUAGAUAAAGGAAUGAGAUAUAUAAUAAAGUUAAUUGCAUGCAGGUGUACUAUCGUAGACUAAUACGCCUCAAAGAUCCUCCAUUGUUGGACCUCUUAAAGUUUUGAAUGCCUUUCAAAUGAAGAUCUAAUCCAAAAAACUGUCAAAAUAUUUUCCAGCCCAAAGGGACAAUGAUCCGUAUAAAUUGACAUCAUAUCCCUCAAUUAAACACAUAAGGGUAUGGUUUUCUUUUUGGAUAGAGAGCGUUUUUCGAUAGAAGUCGGUCCCAUUAACAGGCCUAAUAACCCUGGCAUACUGGGUCACUUAGGUAAUCAUGCCUAGUAGAAGAAAUUUGAUUUAGCUCUAUCUUAGUUUUACUAUGGUGGACUUCUUUAAAAAGAGACUAGGACUGGAUGGACUAACAUUAGUUGAAAUGAUAACAAGUGUUGCACGAUCCAGAACCGACUUAAUAUAUAUCAUUUUGAUAAUGUUUGUUUUUAUAGUAGAGGAAACAACUUCAUAAAAAGUGUAUAGGUCCUAAUGCAAUCAAAUUUUUUUCACUUGGCGGAAUCAAUAUAUCAUGAAUGCAAGGAUAUGGUACAUAUAAUUAAACAAGUAGUGAGUAAAUAACUGAACAACAUAAAAGACAUACAUGAUACAAGAAACAAACAAAAUAUACAAGCCAAUACAAAAACGUAUAAAAUUUAAAAACUCCUCAAUUGAAAAAAGGAACUCAUAAUGGUUGAAACAUUUAUAUCACCAUUGAAGUCACCACUUUGUUACAUCCCUAUUUUCAUAAGGUGCAACUUCAAGACUCAAAAAUUAAUCAAUAUUUUUUUGAAGAAUUAUGAGAGUCAAUGCUUAAUCUUAGGAAAACUAGGAAACCUAUUAAUUUAAUUAAAAAAAUUUUACUGAAUGAAACCAAUUAGAUUCUAGGUAAGAAUUUAAUUUAAUUCAAAAGUAAAGUGUUAGGGACUCUUAAGAAUCAACAACUGCGGGUUCAGACUGAACUCGUUAUUUUUAUUGCUGAGGGGAUAAAAUUAUUUGCACAAGUAUAAUAAAUAAAUAUAAAAUAUAUAAAAAGAAUAAAAUAAAGCAUGAAUAACAAAGAUAUAAAAAGAAUAAAAUAAAGCAUGAAUAACAAAGAUGGGCUAAUAUUUCUUCAUUUCUAAACAAACUAAUCUAUUGAGCAAUAAACAAAAAGUAAAACCCAUCUUUCGCGCAUGGGUGACCUUGAAAAUCGAUGAAACAUUUUUCAUUGGCCUAUUAUUAGUACAUAAAUAAAAGAAAUUAUCAAAAAAUUAAAUGUAAGAAUAAAAUCUAAAUUCUAAUGGAGAGGCCUUGAAAAUUUAACGAAGAGGUUUUAUCGUUGGCCAAACUAGUAAUUAACAUUCCUUGUCAACGUAAAAGUGUAAAAAAUAAUCUCUAAAAUAGCAAUUAAAAAAGUAACAAUGAAUAAUCAGACUAAACAAUGAUGAUAAACAAUAAAAACUACAACAUCAACAAAGUUACAAUGAAUUAUAAAUAAAAAAUAAAUAAAAAUAAUAAAGCUUGCAAAUUAGCAUACUAAUCAAGAAUAAUCAGGCCAUUAUCGAUAACAAGUAACAAAAUUGCAGCAUCAAUAAAGUAACAAAAGAGCGAUUAAAGUAACAUCAAGAAAAGGUUAUAAAAAUAAUAAAAACUGUAACAUUAAUAUAAUAACCAAAAAUAAUCAACGCAACAUUAAUAAUAUUAGCAAAAAUCUUAAUAAAGCUGAUAAAUAAAAAUGUAUAAGAGACAAAACAUAUAUGCAACAUGAACAAAAAUAUGUAUAAUAAUGACAAACUGCAAAAAUAAAUAGAUAACACAAAGAAAUGGAAAGAUCUAAGCCUUACCAUCACUACAAGUAUAUUUGGAGUUUUACUUUGCCAGAGCGAAUAGUAAGGUUACUGUAGAAGAUGAAUGAUUACCAGAGAUUUAUAUCCACACCAAGAAAUGAAACCUAAAUUGAUCUUUCAACUGAUUUUUCCCAAACAAGGAUAUAGCUAGAGUAGCAUUAAUAAAACCACAGGUACUAGUAAGCAUCAUCAGCAAUCAAAAUUAAAUCACAAAAGUACAAUAUAAAUAUCUAAAAUAAAAUAUUUACUUAAUAAUAAGGUAUCCAAAUUGACUUCCACUAUUUUCCUGAUUUUAUACUCUUCAUCAAACCCUCGUAAAAUUCAAUUAUGUCUACUCUAAUCCACAAGUCAACCACAAAUCAACAUUCAACUAGAGUUCACCACUUCUCAAUAUCUUACUUCCUUUCUAAUUACACAUUAUCAUUCACUUAAUUCUAUGAACCCAACAUAUUAUCCUUUACGAACCCUCCCCCAAGCCACUAAUAACUAGUCAACUCUAACUCAUUCAUAAUAAUAACUUUUAGAAUACUUACUGUCACACCCCUUCCCAAAAAGAUUUAGCUUUUAAGUUCAAAAAGGAUUUUUAUUAUUAAAGUGACAAAAUAAAGAUUUAUUUCAAAAAAGGAUUCAAUUCACAAUUAAAUUCUGAGUCGCCACUUGACAUAAUUCGGUGUGCCAAGUCAAUUUUAGAAAAUCUUUUUCAAAAUAAUUUUACUCUUUAAAUUGGUUUGCGAAGAGAGAUUCCUUCUAUGGAAUUCUGUUGAUAGAGGGAAAGGUGUCAGGCACCUCUCAAUCUCGUGAUUCGACCACGGUCGCUUGGUGAAGUGUAUCGGCUAGUAAGUCACUAUGAAUAUAUAAACCCACAAAAGACAUGUAAAAUGAGCAAACAAACACAUCAAACAACAAUCUAAAAAAUCCAAAAUAAUAACGUCCAGUCCCAUUAUACUAUCCAAACUAAAUAAAAUUAAAAAAUUCAAAUAAUAUAAAUUCUAUUCUAAACUAGUCCUAGACUAAGCUCCACUUGAUGCCUCGGGCCUUCCUCACGAACGUGCUCUGAAUACAAAAUACUUUGGCACAUUUCUCGGCGAAUAAACAUAAAUACCUCAGGACAUUCCCCGACCCAAAUACAUUUAAUACAAACAAAGCACUAAAACCAAACCAUUCAUCACUUUUCAUACUCAAAUAUUCAACAAAAGCACUUAUUCCUAAAAUUUUGCCUACUCGAACCUAUAUUUGCCUAUCUGUUUCAACAGAUCAUAAUUCUAUCAUGUUCCAAAAUUAGCCAUGCUUAUUCUGAAUUAAAUAAAAAUAACAAUGAUCCAAAAUUGAACUAUAUUCACCCUUUUCACCAAUUUCUCAACUCCAUCCCAAACAACCAAUUUUACUUUUCAAACGAGAUAUCAUUUCACCGUAUAAGCCAUAAUCAAGGGAAUCAACCGCAAAUCAAAACGAACACACUGUCAUCACCAAAAACAAUCAAACAAUAAUAAUAUUCAGUCCAAAAAUACCAAAAUAUAGUAAACAAUAAAAUAAAAGAGGGAAAGAGUAGAAGUGGACCUUCCGAUAAUUGACUUACGUUGAUAGUGAUAUUUAAGAAAACCUGAAUUUGAAAUCCCAAAUAGAAACCUCAACAGUGAACCCAACUCAUAUCAAGAAAUAAUGACCCAGGCGGAUUUAAAUCCCAAGAAAGAAGAAGUAGCACUCAAAUCAAUAUCAAAAUUACCAAAAACCAAGAAAGCCCGUAUAUGAGAUUUUGAAACACAGACAAACAAAUAAAAAUUCAAGCCAAUAACAGAGAAAGUUGAGAAAAACCAUGGGAGAUAUUGCGGUAUUUUUGAUCUGAUCUUGCUAGAGUCGACUGGUUUGAUCGCUGCUCUGUAUUUCAAAGUGAUGGAGACCUAUUUUUGGCUUCAAUGGCGGCUGAAUACACUGAAUGAAUGCAGAUUUCAGCAAUUUUGAGAUUAAAUAGAUCAAACGAUCACUACAAACCAACUCUAGCAAAAUUUCACUGGAAACCCAAAGAGACGACCAGAUUUCUCAAAAUCGCUUCAUUCUCAAACCUUUUUUCAUAGUGUGUGCACAUGUGUGUAGGUAUUAUGAGGAUUGUGAAUAUGGAUUCUCAGAAUUGCUGUUGGAAUCAUAAGUAUAUGAGAUAACUAUGUGUAUAUUCUAUUAUUAAAAUAAAAAUGAGCCUCUACUCCUCUGUUUUUGAUCUUCAAAAGAAAAAAAAAUUGAGAUGAGAAUGGCCCCUAAAAAGAAUAGAAAAUUUUCUGGGUAUUAAUGGAAUGUCCUUCUAUUCCCCCCUGUGUGAAUUGUGUCCAUUUCUCUUAAAGAAAAAACAUGACAAAAGAGUGAGUUUUUAAAGGGUGGGGACCACAUGUGUAGUAAGGUGGGGUAGGGGGUGAGAUGGGUGAGGGACGUGAGCUGGUUGAUAUAAAGUUUGUUAGGAUAAGGGAAUACUAGGGAUUUGAUUUUGAUGGGAUUUAUUGAAAUUUUAUUAUUUUUUUGUAUUUUUGUGGGGUAUAAUCGCAUAGGUGGGGGCGUAUAAUAAUGAGAGGUGGAAAAUUGAUGAAUUAUAUUUUGGGAGGGACAAAAUUAGGUGUCUACAUCAUGCCCCCUUUGGGUGUAAACACAAUAUGUUUUCAUAUAAAGAAGUAGACAACAAGAUAAAAUUUUGUCCCGAUCAUUAUUCAAAAGAAUGAAACAGAAGGAAUGAGGGAAACCAAGUCUUGACUUUGGACAUCAUACUCAUCCUUAGCUAUGAAGGAAUCAAAUCACAGGUAUCUCCAAAGGAAGGAGAAGGACUAUAUCGAGUUGGAGAGUAAGUUGGAGAGUUGAGUGAGGUUCUAUCAAGGUACCGAUCUGCGGCUCUGUCAUUGUAUCAAAAAAGAAAAUUAUAAGUUAAAAAAUAAAUGAAAUCAAAAAUACUAUCUAUGCAGCUUUUUUUGGACUCUUGACUUGAGUUUCAUCACCCUAUUCUUCAGGCCGGCUCCUGACUUGCAAUUUGUUUAACUUGUUGCUUGGAUUUCAAUUGCUUUACCUUGUAGCUUGACUUUCCAUCUCUUACCCUUGUUUCUUGAACUUCAAUUCCUUCGCCUUGUUGCUUGACUCCCAAUUUCAUCACCCUAUUCUUCAGGCAGAAUUCUGACAUUCAGUUUCAUCACCCUUGUUCUUUCGACGGGCUCCUGACUUUCAAUUUCAUCACCCUUGUUCUUCAGGCGAACUCUUGACUUUAAAUUUUUAUCAUCUUUGCUUUUCAGGUAGGCUCCUAACUUUCAGUUUCAUCACCUUUGUUCUUCAGGUAGGCUCCUGACUUUUAGUUUCAUCAACCCCGUUAUUCCGGUGGGUUCCCCACUUUUAAGCUUCAUCACCCUUGUUCUUCAAGUGGGAUCCUAACUUUCAAUUUUCAUCUCCCUUGUUCUUCAGGUGGUAUCCUGACUUUUAUUUUUUAUCACCCUUGUUCUUUAGGCAGGCUCCUGACUUUUAAUUUCAUCACCUUAGUUCUUCAGGAAGGCUCCUAACUUUCAAAUUCAUCUCCCUUGUUCUUCAGGCAGGCUCCUGACUUUCAAUUCUAUCACCCUUGUUCUUCAGGCGGGCUCCUAACUUUCAAUUCCAUUACCCUUGUUCUUUAGGUGGGCUCUUGAAUUUCAGUUUCAUCACCCUUGUUCUUUAGGCGGGCUCCUGACUUUCAUUUUUACCACCCUUGUUCUUCAGGCGGGCUCCUGACUUUCAGUUUCAUCACCCUUUUUCUUCAGGUGGGCUCCUGACUUUUAAUUUUUAUCACCCUUAUUCUUCAAGUGGGCUCUUGACUUUUAGUUUUCAUCACCCUUGUUCUUCAAGCGGACUCCUGACUUUCAGUUUCAUCACCCUUGUUCUUCAGGCGGGCUCUUGACUUUCUGUUUCAUCACCCUUAUUCUUCAGAAGAGCACAUGACUUUUAAUUUUCAUCACCCUAUUCUUCAGCUGGCUCCUGACUUUCAAUUUCAUCACCCUCAUUCUUCAAGUGUGCUCCUGACUUUCAAUUUUUAUCUCCCUAUUCUUUGGGCGGGCUUCCGACUUUCAAUUUUUAUUACCCUAGUUCUUCAGGCAGGCUCCUAACUUUUAAUUUUUAUUAAAAGCUUUUGAGGAUGUCAAACCCAAUCAAAUAUUGAUUUAAAGGUCUUUCUUUGGUUGUAACUUUACUUUUGGAUAUGGUUUGAAAAAAAGGUUGACAUGAGGCCCAAACAACACUUGAAGUGGGGUAGGACUUACAACUUUUGGAAUUGACUCAAACAAUGAGGAUUAACUCAUGCCCCAGUUUUUUUAAUUGGGCAAUUCAAAAUUGUUUAUUUGGUUGGACCGAGUCUAGAGUAGACAGUCUACGUAUCUCACCUCCGGUAGAGAAGAAUCAGGUCACGCGUAGUUUUGACAGAUUGUUCUUUAUUUUGAUAUGAUUUUUCUCUUUUCUUUUUUUUAUUGACUCCUUUUCUCUUUAGGAUUUUCUUUUCUGACUCUAUUUUCCUUGACUCUCUUCUCUAUUCAUUCUUUUUGAACACAUUUUUUCUUUUUUUUUUAGAUUUUUGACUUUAUUUUUUCUCGACACUUUUUUUGAAACUUUUCAACUUCAUCUUGAUUCCAAAAGAGGGAUAUGAAAGAAAAUAGAACCAAAGAUCAAUAGGGUGAACAAUGGAUGACGCAAUGUUUGGAUAGCAGAAUAAAAUGCCUUCGUCAUAUCAAUCCUUGAAAAUACAAGUACACAUUAUGCAAUACGAAGUGAAAGAUGAAACCAUUUGUGACAUUUUCUUUUUAUCACUAACUUUAACUGAGCUUGUGCAUCUCUACUUCUUCUUCAAACUCCACCAUUGUCUUACAUUUCUCUCAUCGAAAGAUCCAUCCUUUCAUAGAGCUAAUCAUCUUCCAGUUUCUCUUAAUAUAGGGAUCACGCAUCCACUAUCUGACCUAAUCGAGCAAUGCUUUUCAAUUGAUGACCAAGUUAUUCUGAUAAUUCUCAAAAUAAUUGCCUUAGUUUUGAAAGAAGACUUCAAUAUGGUCACUAAUUUUCUUAACACGCUACCUAUUUCUCAGAUGUUGUUUCUAACUUUAGCCCUCUAAUUCAAAGUUCAUGCUCAAAUAGGAUGUUAAGAUCUAGCUGAAAAAUCUGCAAGCAUGUCAUAUCACUAAAGCCAACAUGAAAUAAUAUUAUGUGAAGAAAAUAAACAAACAACACAUGUUUAGAGCACAAAAGGAAAAAGGACACUGCAUUUAGUUAAAAUAAAAGAUAGAAGGGUUUGAACAUAAAUGACAAAGGGACAAAAUUAGAUAAAUCCCAGACUACAACCCUGAAAUAAUUCAAAUAUCAAAAAAUAAAACAAAACAAACUACUAAACAUCCAUCCUAGCAGGGAGAUGAGUGACUUCCCAAUUGAGGAGGCUGACAUCUUAGCCACUGGUUUGCACAUCAGCAUGACUAGAGCUUUUACCAUUGUUAAUGUUCUGCACCAUAAUCGAUUUAUCUUGAAUCAUCUUUUCUAUUUCUCUUUUCAAAGAACGACAAUCUUUAAUACUAUGCCCAUGAACAUCAGAAUGAUAUGCACAUCGUACAUUAGGAUUAAAACUUCUUGAAUGCAGAUCAAAAGUAUACCCAAGGAGAGGAGUGAUCAUGCCCCACUAUACCAAUCUCUGAAAUAAACUGGCAUAUGAUUCUUGUACUAAAUCUAAUAAUGCUUUUGAGUUCAACAUUGACUUUUAUGAGAGAUUACAAAAGAUGGGUAUUGUAUAACAACAUGGAGUUGAGUUUGUGAAAUUUUUAUUAGAUAAGGAUGCUAAGAAAUGGUGGAGGGUUAUCUUGAAUGUUGGUCACUGAUUUUAAUCCCAUUGAUAUAUUUUUGAUUUUAUAUUUUAUUUGUAGAGAAAUAAGAAGCUCGGUCCCUCCGUGAUCAUAAGAAGGAUGGUUUUUUGACAUUGGAGCAGGGUGAUAUAUCCGUUGCAGCUUAUGAUGCUAUGUUCUAUUCUUUGUCUCGCUAUGCCUCUCAGUUGUUGGCUACUAAGGAGGAAAGCAUUCGAUGCUAUGUUAAAGGUUUGAACUAUGAUCUUUAGGUUUUAUCAGUGCAUCUAACUUUAAUAAGGAAAGGGUUCAAUGAGGUUUCUAUUAUAUAAAUAAGUUAAAGGGAAUCACAUAACGUUUCAGGCCAAGAUAUUAGCUAAAAAGUUUGGCAAUGUUGGAAAUUUCAGCAAAUUUUAAUCCAAGGGCCACGGUCAGUAUCCCAAAGCAGCUCACCCUACUCUAUCAGCAUUGCAGCUUCUACUGUGGGUCAAGCUAAUGUCUCUUCUCUAUCAUAUAUAAUUAGGAGCCAAAGGACUUCUUACUCCUCUACUAGUCGACUUGCUCUCUAACGGGGAUAUGACUAUUAUGGCAUUGAUAGUCAUUUUAAGAGAGAGUGUUUGUUGAGGCAGGUAAAAGGCCAUGCACAUUAAUACACUUGGGCUAUAGUUUUAUCAGGAAAAAGAGGAGGAGGAAAUGGUAGGGGUCAUCCAUAGGGUGGUUAGGGAAAUUUGACAAGUGGUCAGAGUGGUCAAAGAAAUGGUAGUGCGGGGAAAGAAGUGCAUUCAGGAAGAGUGUUUACUAAGAAUUGAUGACCGGGCUCAUUGUUAUUUCUUUUUGAGCAAGAAUAACGCCAAGGCUUCUAUUGAGAUGAUCAUAGGUACCAUUUUUGUUUGUGACCAAAUUUAUAAUUUAUCUCAUGAAGGCUUGUAAUUUAAUCAUGGACUAAGACCCAACAAUAACAUGAACAUGAAUUCAAUUCAAUUCAAACUUAGAAGUUCAUAAUUCAACAAUCUUGUAAUUUGAAAAUGGAUUCAUGGACUCUAUGGGUGAAAGGAACCCAUAGAUGAACACCUAACACACCUUAGAAGAUUCUUUCUUGAAGUUUCUUGGAGUAAUUCUUAGGCUUGUUUUUGAUUUUCUUGAACUAGGGAUUUUACCUUUGAGAGAGAAUGUUUUUAAUUUGGGGAAAAAUAAGUGAAUAAUGAGAUAAUAAGGUAUUUAGGGGCUUAAUUUUUUGUUUAGAUUGAUUAGGGUUGUGAAAAAAAACCCAACUACCCCAGGGAAGAUUUAACACUUUGUCACUGAAAAAUCAGAUUUUUGGCCCUUGCAUGACACGGUGGAAUUGCGUUGCCCCUUUGAUUUUGAAUUUUUAACUCAGCGCGAUGCAGUAAAAUCGUAUUGGAAUAGUGAAAAAGGACGAUUUUGAAUUGUGCCUAUGGCGCGACGUGCCAGUAUUGCGAUGUACAACUGGAAAGUGAAAAUUUCCAUUUGUCAUGGCUCAGCAACGCGCUGACGUUCCAGGUGGUAUACUGUCUUACAAAAAUAGCUCUAACUAUUCACCCAGGUGUUAGAUUUGGGUCAAUUUUUUAUCAUUGGAAAGCUAAUUGAAUUUCCUAGGAAAUGGAAGGCUCUAAACUGAGAAAUAUUGAGUAUUUCAAAAAAUUUAUAUAGGAUUACUCAUGUACUAAGACUUAAAUUAUGCUUGGAAAAUACGAGGUAUUACAAUAUCUACCCUUUGGGAACUUUCAUCCUUGAAUAAGAGUAAUUAAGCCAAGAAACACUGAUAGACUGAGUUUACAUGCUGAACUUGUACAACUGAAACCUGACUACAUGACUGAAUUACUGACAAACUAAGUUUUCAUACUGAACAUGCAUAUCUGAUGCACAUAGAAUACAUGGCUGAAUCUGCUGGUAAUCUGAGUUUUCAUACUGAACAUGCAUAUCUGAUGAAUGGAAUACAUAAUUGAACUGAUUCAUGAAUGAAUGAUUGAAUAUGCAACGGUAAAGAAUAUCAAAUUUCUAACUGUAACUGAUUAUGGAACUGAGUAAAUCUAAGGAAGGUCGUUACCUUAGGCUGAGAAUACUAUUGAACUUGAGAUUAUUUACUGGACAUGCAUGAACAGGAACAUGAGAACAUUCUUGAGUUUAAAAGAAGAUAUAUAUAAACUAAAUGUCGUGAAUUGAAUUGAUUUCUUGGAAACAUGUCAUACGGAUGAGAUUGGAACUUGAGGGUCAACUUAUGAGUACCCAUUACUCCAAACUGGAUUUGUUACGUGAAGAGAAAUUUAAAGGUUUAGGAGACCAUAGUGCAUCUCACCCUUGGGAUAUUAGGUAGCCUAAAGAAUGCUAACUUGGCUGGGAUGCUGAGGAAAGGUUGAGAUGAUGCACGGGGCAUCUACGAAGUAAAUCUUGACUGAAUAUCUGAGAUCUAAAACUGAGGCAUGAUACAUGAACUGAGCUAAAUCCGCAACUACCAGGAAGUUCCAUUUUGGGAUAGGAUGAUAAGAUGGAAAGAUGGGAAACCAUAUGAAUUUGUCCGCCUGACUGCUAAACUGAAUUGCAGGCUUUACGGACUAACUCAUAUUGAAAAAAUUAUACUUAACUGGAGAAUUUCUUUGACACUCUUCCUAUAAUAUUCUAAUGACUUUAGGGAGUAAGAGAUCUUGGCAUUGUCAGAAUAAGACAUCAAAUAAGAAACCAUAACAUGGCCAAAAAUUCUGUAAUAUGGGAACUAAUAACCAUACCUACUUGGGUCAGAGCUGAACUGAAUUCUACCGCUAUGUUCAAGCCUACUCAAUUAUUUGUAUUACAUUUAUCCACUUACACAUCAAUGUGACAUUCAUGCCUAUCUUCAUAACUACAGCCCCAUGUAAAAUAAGAAUGCAACAAUUUUUUCUUAACAUAAAACAUUUACUUUCUCCUAUCAAAGCAUCUGCUUAUCACUACAUCAUUUCAUAAAGAUAGUUCACUGAAGGUUAAAACAUGAAGACCUGAAGCAUGAAUGGACACUAUGAUGAACUUGACACUUAACUGAGGCCUGAGGAAUCGAACAUCAAUAUCUUGGAUUUUAUCAAAAGGUCUAAAGUGAGGAUAUACAUGACGAAAUCUAAAUUUGGCUGAUCCUUUAGGAGUGUGUCAGGAGUCGUGGGAACUAAGCAUACUAUAAAGCAUGUGUACAUGAGUCAUGAGCUACAUGACCUGAGUUUGGAUUUUUUGUAUUCAUGGAACAUGAUUCGUUAUAUUAGGUGAACUAGAACUGCUCAUACUAGGAACUGUAAGUGUACCUGAUUUUUGAUAACGUGCCUGAAUAUGACCUAGGAUCAUAGAGCUGACAUGUAAGGUAUGGGUACUAACAUUACUGACAUUACUAUUAAAAUAUGAAAUCCUGACUUGGUUACUUAUAUUACCAUCUCCCCCUUAUCUUAAAGCCAUUAUUUUAAAGUUGUGAACCACUUAAUCAACAAAUCAAAACCGAAUUGUCACCACUUUAUUCUAGAGUCUGGGGAGGACACUGAGGAGGGCUCUACUAAUAUUUUAGGUCUAACACUGAAAUUUAUGGUUAUAUAGGGGUUACAAAGAAAGUAAGGCCUCAGGAUCUAACAAGGUAUAAAUAUAAAGAUGAAAAACUCAUAAUGUACCCGUAACUAUAUCAGGAGAACUUCCCUGAUCAUGGCGAGACUGGAGUGCAUAAAAUCUAUUUAGACGUUGCCCACUGGCAGCACUGGAAGCGGCACCCUGCUGGUUUGGGCGGUCAAAUUGAGCUGAAGGAUGGUUAUACUGACCCUGAGAACCUAACUAAGGACAAUCUCUGACUCUGUGGCCUGGCUUACCAUUCUCAAAAAAAGCAUCAUUGCCAGCUCUAUAUACUCCCUUAGGGUUCUUACCACAUUCACCAUAAAGCGGAUUAAUACAAACACCCUUCCCACAACCUUGUGACUUAGAGCCUGGUGCUUCAUCUCGACUAACAUUCUUAGACUUGGGUACUAGCACUCAGACUGAAAGCAUAUCUGGUGUUGAGAAUCUCUGAUGGAACUGGGAGCGGUUACUACCCCCUGAUCUUGGCUUAGAAUUAUUUGUUGUAGCCCUCUUAUUCUUUCUACACUCUCCUCCCUUACUCUGUUGAGUGCAAGUCUAAAUCCUAGAUAGGAAAAUAGUCUACAAAUUGUUCUGAGCAACUACUAAAUAAGCUAAGUUAGCAAAAACAUCUGUAAAUUCAAUGUGAGAGACAUGCUCAUUCAGGAGAUCUACCUGAACGGGUGGAGGAGCUAACUGGUUUUCAUUACUUCUUCCAUUAGCUUCUUUGGGAGGGAUAUUCUGGAAAGUUAAGGAAGAGUUGAAUCAGACUGAGAGUUUAACAUGAGCUCAUGCCCACUCGCACGUCAUGAAUACAGAAAGAAGGAAACUUUUCCUAAAAUAUCUCACAGCCCAGUCCAUAAGUGUGGCGCGCUACACACCCAUGCACAAUACUCAACACGAUCGGCUUUCAGACUCCCUAGGACUCUAUUGAACCUUAGUCUUUGAUACUGAGUUUGUAACACCUCGAGUCUUUACCCUAGAUGCUACACGAUGCUUACGACCCCAAAGGACCACAAGCUAACCCAUGACUGAUAUUUGCUGUGAGCACUGAAUAAUACUAGUGUAAAAUAUGAAAAAUAGGCUGGAAUGCCAUAAAGUUCAAAAUCUAAAAUACUGAUAAAUAACAACAUCUGAUAAAACAUCUAAAUCUGAAAUACUGUCUGAACUAAUCUAGUCUGAAAAGCCUCUAACUAAAUUAUCUAAAAGUAAAUCUGAUGGGACAAGCCCCCAAUGAACUUUAACCAAUGCAGUGCUAAAACUACUGUAAUACUAUAAUAAAAAUACAUCAUCGAUAGAUGAGGACUCACUACUAAAGCUGCUUCUGCUGACUGGAUCUGUCUAAGAACGGUCGGGAACCUGAGCAUCCAAACCUAAAAUAUGAGACAUCAUAGUGCAAAGAAAGAGUAUGCGCCAGUACGUGGAAUGUAAUAGUAUGCUAGAUGAGGUAAGGUUGAAUUCAAGGGUUCAUAUACAAUAUUGUGCUUAUAUAUACUGUAACUGAGCUUUUCUUAAGCUAAGUAAUGAGUUCUGAUACAGAGUUACUAAUAAUCAAAGAUUUUUGAUAACUAAGUUACUGAUACUGAUUGACUGUAUCUGGUAGUCCUAAUUCUGCAGAAUUGAACUGAGUUCUAUUCUAAAGACUAAAACUAAAAUAGUGGGAGGUAAUCAUCUAAUCGACAUGCCCCAAAUAAGAUAAUAUAACUAAGUUAGGGUCCAAUCUGUAACCCUAAUUAGAAGGGUGUUAGCAUCGUGCCAUGGAUACUACCAACUACUGUGGAGUCAGUUCUAACUAACGAGUGACCCCUGAGAUCAGUCCUAAACUAGCAGGUGAUUCCUGAGUAUGUCAGUCCUAUCUAACGAAUGACAUCUCAUAACCUAUAUAGGCUACGUAAUUUUGGAACUUAGGGAUUGCUUCUAGGGACCCAGUCCUAACUAACUGCUAAGCCCCUAUCCCUAGGCUCACUCGGUGCUUAAUACUACUCCCAACUAAAAGACACUAAACUGAUUAUACUGAAUUGGACUGGACUGAUACUGAGUUUACUGAGUUUUCCUGAGUUUAGUAACUGACUGAGUUCUACUGGGUUUUGUAACUGACUGAGAGUAUUACUGAUCAAAACAUGACUAACACUAUUUUGUAACUGACACUAGCUCUAGGUAAACAGCUAAAUUUUUGGGUAUUAAAUGCCUUUAAGAGUCGAUAGCAUGAAAAGGAAAGCAAAGCAUAAUCUUCAAUAACAUAAUAAUGUUCACUUGGUCAUAAUUCAUUCAUAGAGAUAUUUCAUCAAACACUUGUAAUGCAUUAACUUGUACAUCAAUAGGGAAUACAUGUUAGCAUGCUAUAAUGACAUUAUUUCAUUCUCAUAGAUAAUUUAUCAAACAAAUGAGAAGCAUACUUAUUUUACUAAAUUAUAAACACUUAGGGUAAACAUGGUUAUAACAAUCAACUUGCAAAUUGAAGGGUUUAUCAUGAAUAUCAUGUAAAUCAACACAUAUAAUGAUUUAUUUCAUGAAGUCUUGUAAUUAAAUCAUGUACUAAGACCACGAACAUGAAGUCACUUCAAUUCAAGUAUGGAAGUUCAUAAUUCAACAAUCUUGUAAUUUGAAAACAUAUUUGUCGACUAUAUAGGUGAAAGGAUCCGAUAGAUGAACAACUAACAUACCUUAGAAGAUUCUUUCUUGAAUGUUCUUGGGGUAAUUUAUAGGAUUGUUCUUGAUUUUCUUGAACUAGGGCUUUUUCCUCUUGAGAGAGAAUAUUUUUAAUUUAGGAAAGAAUGAGUGAAUAAUGAGCUAAUAGGGUAUGUAGGGGCUUAAUUUCAUGUUUAUACUGAUUAGUGUUGUGGAAAAAGACCCAACUACCCCUAUGAAGAUUUAAAAAUUCAUCACUGAAAAAGCAAAUUUUAGACCCUGGCGCGACGCGGCGCUAUCAUACCAUGUCACUGGAAAAUGACAAUUAGGAACUGGGGGCCUGGAGCAAUGCGGUGGAAUCACGUUGCCCCUUUGAUUCUGAAUUUUAAACUCAGCGCGACGUGGUAGAAUCGCAUUGUAAGACUAAAAAAGGACAAUUUUGAACUGAUUUUGUGGAAUGAUGCAUCAAUAUCAUGAUGGAGCACUGGAAAGUGACAAUUGCCAUUUGCCUUGGCUCCACGAUGCGCUGACGUUCCAGGUGGUACACUGUCUUAAAAAAUGGCUCUAACUCUUCACCUGGGUAUCAGAUUUGGGUGAAUUUUAUAUUAUUAGAAAGCUAAUUCAAUUUCCUACACAAUGAUAGGCUCUAAAAUAAGAAAUAUAGAGUAUUUCAAAAAUUUUAUAUGGGAUUACUGGUGUACUAAGACUUAAAUUAAGCUAUACGGGGUAUUACAAAGACCUUGGAAAAACAUGACUUAAUUUUGGUAAUAGUGGAUUGAUUGAUGAAAUCACCUAACAUCAGUUUGGGUAGACUACGGCUCCCAAAAAUUAGUAAAAGCUACGUCAAGGAGUUAGUAACGCUUCAUGGGGUGCCCCUAAUUAUCAUUUCCAAUAGAGAUGCAAAGUAUACUUCUAGAUUUUGCGAUAGGUUGCACGAGGAUUUGCAUGCAAAGCUGACCUUUUACAUGACUUUUCAUCCUCAAAUUCAUGGACAGUUAGAGAGAAUGAUUCAGGUGCUAGAGGAUAUGUUGAGUGCCUAUGUUAUUGACUUUAGAGGUAAUUGGGACUAGAUUUUUUCAUUGUAAGGGUUUUUAUACAAAAACAACUCCAACUCCAACUUAAACAUGGUACCAUUCGAGGCACUAUAUGAAAGAAAAUUUUGGGCACCUAUUAGGUGAUUUGAAACUAAAGAUGUUAAAUCUUUGGGCAUUGACUUUGUGAAGGAGGCUUAAGGAAAAGUAAGAUUUAUUCAAACUAUGUUGUUAGAUGGUCAAACUAGAGAAAAAGCGUAUGCAAACCAUUAGGUAAGAAAUAUGGAUUUCAUGGUUGGUGAACAAAUAUUGCUUAAGGUGUUUCCCAUGAAGAGAGUCAAGAGGUUUAGUUAGAUAAUAAAGCUCAGCCCUUGGUAUAUUGGACUUUUAAGAUUCUUUAUGAUGUGGGUCUGGUUGUGUACCAUUUAGCAUUAUCUCUAGGUUUGUUAGGAUUCAUCUGUAUUCUCAAAUGGUUUCAUAGGGAUAGAUAUUAUAUUAUUAAAUAGGACUCGAUUAUAUUAUAUAAUGAUUUGGCUUAUGGGGAAGAAUCAGUGGCAAUUAUAAAUUGAGAUAAUUAGAAGUUGAGGAGAAAGGAAAUUUCUUUGGUUAAGGUUUAAUAGAAAUGUCAUCCAAUUAACGAAUCCACUUGGAAAACCUAUAAGGACAGGUAAGACAAGUACCCUCAAUUGUUUGGGAAUACAAGCACUCUCUUUUUCCUUAUCUCAGCUUAUUUUUACAUUUCACAUUUGAUCGUUUGGGGACAAAAUAUAGGUAUAUUGGUAUCUAUUGUCAUGGGAUAUUUUGUAGUUUUGUAUAAGUCUCUUAUUUAAAUUUUCAUGCUACAAUUGUUCUCAGAUUUAAAAUUAUAAAUUUUAGGCUAGUAUAGUUUUUGAUGAAAUCUGAGUGAGGUAUGGUCUAGGAAAAAUCAGGAAUUAAUUAUGUAAGUGUGGUGGAGUUCAACUUUAAUUUUAGUUAACUAAGAGGAUAAGAAUCUUGUAGGAUUUUACAAAAUUAAAUUUGGGUUAGUAAAACUCCCAAAAUUAAUCUUAGCAUAAAGGGUAUUAUUUGGGAUAUCUUACAAUUAAUGUAUGUUAUGAAAAAGAGGAGUUGUGGGGGAACCAGGCACUCUACCUUUCUCAUGUCACUAUAUCAAUAUGCAUGUCACUAUAGAAAUAUACCCAAAAGUAGAGAAAAUCCCAUUUUAUCAUCAAAUCAAACUGGUUAACGACCGUUAUAGCGACAUGUGCCACUAAAGCGACAUAUGGCGCUAUAUCUACAAAUAUAGUUGUUUUAUUUUUGAAAUUCUCAAAAAAUAGUUUAUUUUUUCAAAAACACAUGUUGGGGCAAGAAAGAGGCAAGUUUGGGCCAAAGUCACCAAUUAUCUAUUAUUUGGCUUCAUUAGGUAAGAAUUUUAUUCCUAUUAACUAGUAAAUUAAUAAUAUAGCCUAAGAAUUUCUAGUUUACGUAGUUUGGGGAAGGUUAAGGGUUGAUUUUAUGUGAUUUUAUGAUGCAAGGUAGAAAUUUUAUUAUAAAAUCAAGGGGUUUUGGUUAAUGAUCAUUACAUGUUGUUUAUUUACCAAUUUAUCUAUAAAAUUGGUCGUUUUAGGUGAAUUAUGGUAGAAAGGCCCUAGAACGGGGAGGAAAUGAUCAUGAACUUAGCCUUAGGGGUUGAGUAUGAGCUAUAAUCCCCAUAAUGGUUGGUCAUUUCAUUAAUUAUGUGUUCAUAUGUAUUUCUAUACUGAGAUCAAUCAAAAAUUAAACAAAAAGGCAAGGCUCAAGUUUAGUGAGUUGUGCAAGCUUGGAUUAAGGUUGGUGAUUGUAUUAUAGUUAACACCAAUUUAUAUUAUAUGUGCACAUUAACUACAUCUUAGUAUGUCUUCUUAGUGUAUGUUGUUUGGUGUGUUUAAUUAAAAUGAAUUUAUCUUAUUAUAUAAUUUGACCUACCUUAUUCUUAAAUAGGGAAUCUUUUGAUAUUUAGAACAUUCUUAUGGCUUAUAGGUGGAAUAAGGUUGGCCGACACUUGUGUCUGAGAUUUAGGUACAUUGGUGAAAUUUGUCCCCUGCAGGUCAUGACUAAAGGGUACUUAUCAUACCUUUAACGUGUAUGUAUGAGGUUACCGUGAGUUUUAUAGUUCAAUAAGUUAACCGAAGAAUAUAUUUAUAUGUUUGAUAAUGUUUAAAUUGUCGUGACUUCUUUUAACUUGGAUUUAUUGAACAUGACUUGGUUGUAAAUGGAUUGACUUAUUUCUUGUAAUCCUAAGUUGCUUCAUUGUUACUUAUUGUGUUAGUUGUAGGUUAGGAUGAGCAUGGAGUAACUGAUUGUACUAUGUUUUGGUUAAGUAUGCAUAUUCUCAUCUUGGUUUGGCCAAAUGACCCUAUCAGUACACUAUUGUUUCUUGAUUACUAAUAAUACACAUGCUCUUUCUUUUGUUGAAUGCAACAUAUAUUUCAGCGGCUCCUGCAAGAUCUCACUUGUGAUUCUAGAGUUUGAUAUGAAAUUUAGGGGUGAGCAGCAUAUUUGGGCCACCAUUAAAUCUUUAUUUUAUGAUAUUAUUUUUGUUAGAACUGAUGCAUCUCCCUUAUUUAUUUGGGAUUUCUCCUUUCCUUGACAUCCUAGAAAUUUGACUAUUUUCUUUUCUUUUGAAGUUUUUUAUGCACCCUAGACUUUCAAGGACCUUGCAUGUUUUUCUUUGGAAUCUUCAAACUUGAAUCUUAUUUUGUAAUAUAGACAUCUUCAGUGCACUCAACAAGUAGGGACAAAAGAGGGAUAGAGUUUGUAAGAACUCAGAGGGUUAUAGGCUAUGAUGGGGUUGUCCAAUGAAAAGGCUUUAGGCUCGGAAGGGACAUACUGAGGAUUAAUAUCAUUUUUCCGGUAUUUAAAGGCACAAAGAGAUCAAAGAAGGCUUAAAUUCCUUUCUCAAACCAGAUAUUACACAGAAUUUCACCUUAACAAACAUUUGGGCCAAGUAUAGAUCAACAGUGCAAUGCAAUUGAAUUUAAUCUAAUAACUCACCAUACAAUGCACAUAAAACAAUGAGGUUGGUAUUAUUUUUACCUUGAAUGCAUGCAAGAAAAGUCUUUUGACUAUUACCACAGUAUGAAAGAGAGGUACCAAAAAAAACUAAGGUUCACCACAAAGUUAAGCCUCUCAAUCAUAUCCAUUAUCGCUCAUGCUUCUAUUUAUUUUGGUAUGAACAAAUCCAAUAACAUGAUUCUAAUAAUUUUAUUAUUUUUUAUAAAUAAGGAAUACUAAACUCAUGAAAGGCUUCCUAUGUAUCUCAUCCCGAAGAUUAAGAAUUUAGUGAGUAUAGUUUUUGCAAAUAUGAUGUAUAAUAUAUGAACAAAAAUAAUGAAUACAAAUAUAUAGAUAAACUCAAAGAAAUGCCUCAUAUUGUCUGGUCUCAACCGAUGUCUUUAUCUAAAUAAUAUCGCCUAAUUAUUUAUAGGGACAACAUAUUGUAAUACCCCGUACUUCUACUUAGCUUGAAAUCGUUCCAAGAAUGCUAGAAACUUUCUUUGCAAGAUGAAUCCACUUUUAUACUUGUGAUAUUUCUAAGAUUUUCACUUUCUAUCAUGUGUGAAAUUAAAUUAACUUUCCAACGAUACCAAUUUUAUCCAAAUCCAACAUUGAAAAAAAAAGUUAGGGACAAAAAAUAGAAGGCAGUCAAAAUCGCCUAGGUUUGACGGUGAGAACCGAUGGACCAUUGAGCUAGCGACGGACCUUUGCCCAAGCCAUCACAGUGGAGGAAAUGAGACUACCUUCUACCUAAGAAAAACGGCUAAGACCAACGGACCAUCGAGCUAGUGAUGGACCAUUGCACAAGCCCUCGCACGAGAGGCAGUGAACCCCUAAUCUGAUCAGGUGUGACAACCAGGACCUACGGACCAUCGAACCAGCGAUGGACCAUCACACCCACCGUCAUAUAGUUUAUUUAUUUAUUUUAAUAUUUUUAAAAAGGUUAUUUGCAUUUUUUCCACUCGUUUUAACCCCUAAUUAUAUUAGACCAAGGUUCAUAAGUUCAUUAUCCAUCUACAACAUCAAAUUAGCAUUUUCUCUCAAACAUAAUCCCCAAGAACAAGAUCCAAAUCAUUCUUCAAGAAACUAAGGGAUUCCAAGUUCUUCAAGUCCAAGAACUUCAACAAACUCACAACCCAGGUAUGUCAUGUAUUGAUUCAUGGGUCCCUUUCACCCAUGAAGCCCAAGAAUCUCUUUUCAAAAAACAAGAUUUGUGUAUUUAUGAAUGUUCAUGAUUUAAAUUGAAUUGAAAUUCAUGUUCAUGAUGUUGUGGAGUUUUGAUUCAUGUUUGAAAUUACAUAUUCCAAUGAUUGACCCUAGGAUAUGAUGAUUUGCAUAACAAUCAUGAUAAACCCUUAAAUUUACAUGUGGAUGGAUGUAUCCAUGAUUAUUAGAUGUGUUGAUAAUUGUAUAACCAAAGUAUGCUUCCCAUGUAUUUGAUUAAAUGCCUAUAUGAAGGAAAAGUGCCAUAAUAGUAUGAUAAUAUGAAAUCCCCAUUCAUGUACAAGUUCAUGCAUGUUAAGUGUUUGAUAAAAUAUCUUAGUCAAUGAAUUAUGGAUAUAUGUGUAGCCAUUGUGCUGCUUUAGCACUUGUACUUCAUGAAAUCUCCAUCUUAUUAUAAUAUGGAUUGUCGAUGUUGGUCAUGUAUUCAAAAAAGUCAUGCUUUGUCAGUUUCAUGCUAUCGAGUCCUGAGGGUACUUGUACCUGACAAUUAGUUGUGUUCCCAGAGCUAGUGUCAUGUUUUCAAGAUACUCUCAGUCAAGCCAUGUUCAUAAAAAUUCUGUCAGUCAUGUGACUCAGGAAAACUCAGUAAACUCAGUAAUCUCUGAAAUAUCAUAAAUCUAGUAAUCUUAGUAGCAUUCCAUUAGUCUAUGGAAAUUCAGUUAACAUAGUCCAAUCAGUUCAGUGUCUAUUCAGAUGGGAGUAGAAAGUAGCAUCGAGCGAACCCAAGGAUGGAAACCCACUUGUUAUAUGAGGGUGUAAUUCUUAGAAGAAAUCCCUGCGUUCCAGAACUACAUAGCUAGCAUAGUUUAAGACAUUGUAGCCUAUUAUAUGAAGGUAGAUGAGGUGUAUUAACCUGUUAUAUAAGGGUUCCCACUGUUCUAACUAGAGUUACCUGUUAUAUGAGGGUUACUCACAGAUUGUCCUUACUAGUGGCAUGGUAUUGACACCCUUCUAAUUGGUAGUACAGAUUGGACCCCAAGUUAACAUUAAUGUAUUAUUUGGGGCAUGUCGAUUAGAUAACUACUUCCCAUAGUUUCAUUACAGAAUUAGGAUUGUCAGAUGCAAUCAACUCAGAACAGUACAAAACUCAGCUAGUUCCAUCAAAACUAUGACUGUCAAAUAUAGCCAUUCAGUCUUAGUAAUAAAACUUAUAUAGUUCUAUAAUAUUCAAGACUAUCAGAUACAGUCAACUCAAAAUAGUACAAAACUCAGCUAGUUCCAUCAGAACCUAGACUGUCCGAUACAUUCAUUCAGUCUCAAUAAUUGAACUCAGAUAGUUCUAUAGGAUUCAAGACUGUCAGAUACAAUCAAAUCAGAACAGUAUGAACUCAGCUAUUUCCAUCAGAACCUAGACCAUCAGAUACAGUCGUUCAGUAGCAAUUAUUUCAGUUAUACAGAUAUCAAUAUCUCAUGUUAUCAGCACUCCCACUUAGUAAUUAUAUUAUCACGAGCUCACUUAUAAUUAUUAUAUAGUCGUGCAUAUAUUCUGACAUUCAUGUUAUGCAGUCAGUUAGUGUAGUUCAUACAUAAGAACCCUUUUACGUUCAACCUACCACACAUACAUACCAGUAUAUUCAAAUGUACUGACGCAUUUACACUAUGGUGUUUUAUACCAUAGAUUCAGAAUCAUGAGCUCUAGAGUAUCAGUAGUUUUCUAGUCUCAGCAGUUAGAGUUAGCAGUGAGUCCUUAUCCUUCGAGGACAUGACCAUUACUUUAUUAUCUCAUUAAUUAAUUUAUUUCAGUAGUUGGAGUUACUUGGGGACAUAUCCCAUCAACUCCUUAUUCAGACAGUUCAGUCAGUUAGAGCCUUUUCAGACUAUCAGGUUCAGACAAUUUAUUUCAGGUUUUGUUUUAGUAUUGUGAUACCAUAUCAUUCAGAGAUUAUUUUAUUAUUUUUGAACCUUAUGGCCUUAUAGCCUUUAUUUUCGCAUUUAUAUGGUAUAUUAUGCAGUGCUCAGGUACAGAUAUCAAUCAUGGGUUAGCUUGUGGUCUUUCGGAGUCAUGUGCACCGUGUAGCAUUUCGAGUACCAGAUUCGGGGCAUUACAAACUUGGUAUCAGAGCCUAAGGUUCAAUAGAGUCCUAGGAAGUCUGAAAGCCACAUCUAGUAGAGUCUUCUACAUGGGUGUGUUGCACGCCACAUUUAUGUGCAGGAGGCUAUAAGAUAUUUUAGGAAUAGCUUCCCUUCUUUCAGUAUUCAUGUCGUGCCAGUGAGCAUAAUCUCAAGUCAAUCUCUCAGUCUAAUCCAUUUCUCUCUUUCUUCUAUAGAACAUUCCUCCUACAAAAAGAAAUGGGAAACUUGACAUGUGGCCCAAGUGACACUUGAAGUGGGGUAGGACUUACAACUUUUGGAAUCGACUCAAACAGUGAGGAUUAACUCAUGCCCCAGUUUCUUUUGACUGGGUAAUUCUAAAUUGUUUAUUUGGUUGGACCGAGCCCAGAGUAGGGCAGGCUACGUAUCUCACCCUCGGGAGAGGAGAAUCAGAUCACACUUAGUACUGACAGAUUGUUCUUUAUUUUGAUAUGAUUUUUCUCUUUUCUUUCUUUUUUUUAUUGACUCCUUUUCUCUUUAGGAUUUUCUUUUCUGACUCUAUUUUCCUUGACAAUCUUCUCUUUUCUUUCUUUUUGAACACAUUCUUUCUCUCUUUUUAUUUUGGAUUUUUGACUCCAUUUUUGCUCGACACAUUUUUUGAAACUUUUCAACUUUAUCUUGAUUCCAAUAGAGGGAUAUGAAAGAAAAUAGAACCAAUGCUCAAUGGGGUGAACAACGGAUGACACAAUGUUUGGAUAGCAAAAAUAAAAUGCCUUCGUCGUAUCAAUCCUUGAAAAUGCAAGUACACAUUAUGCAAUAUGAAGUGAAAGAUGAAAACCAUUUGUGACAUUUUAUUUUUAGCACUAACUUUAACUGAGCUUGUGCGUCGCUACUUCUUCUGCAAACUCCACCAUUGUCUUACAUUCCUCUUAUCGAAGGAUCUAUCCUUUCAUAGAGCUAUUCAUCUUCCAGUUUCUCUUAAUAUAGGGAUCGCGCAUCCACUAUCUGACCUAAUCGAGCUAUGAUUUUCAAUUGAUGACCAAGUUAUUCUUAUGAAUCUCAAAAUAAUUGCCUUAGUUUUGAAAGAAGACUUCAACAUGGUCACCAACUGUCUUAACAUGAUACCUAUUUCUCAGAUGUUUUUUCUAACUUUAGCCCUCUGAUUAAAAGUUCAUGCUAAAAUUGGAUUUUAAGAUCUAGCUGAAAAUCCACAAGCAUGUAAUAUCACUAGAGCCAACAUAACAUGUAUUAUGUGAAGAAAAUAAACAAACAACACAUGUUUAGAGAACAAAAGGAAAAGGGACACUGCAUUUAGUUAAAAUAAAAGAUAGAAGGGUUUGAACAUAAAUGACAAAGGGACAAAACAAGAUAGAUCCCAGACUACAACCCUGAAAUAAUUCAAAUAACAAAAAAUAAAACAAAACAAACUACCAAACAUCCAUCCUAGAAGGGAGAUGAGUGACUUCCCAAUUGAGGAGGCUGACAUCUUAGCCACUGGUUUGCACAUCAGCAUGACUAGAGCUUUCACCACUGUGAAUGUUCUACACCAUAAUCAACUUAUCUUGAAUCACCUUUUCUAUUUCUCUUUUCAAAGAACGAUAAUCUUUAAUACUGUGACCCUAAAUGUCAGAAUGAUAUACACAUCGUACAUUAGAAUUAAAACUUCUUGAAUGCGGAUCAGGAGUAUACCCAAAGAGAGUAUUGAUCAUGCCCCACUGUACCAAUCUCUGAAAUAAACUGGCAUACGACUGUCCAAUUAGUGUGAAACUAUAUGUGAAACUAUCUCUACACUUCUGUCUCUUCUCAAUAUUUGAUUUGGAUUGAACAUCGGGCCUAGAAGGUCUUUGGUAUAUUUGUGGAGUUGGAGGAUGACUCUAAGGAGUUGGUGCAUACCAUUGUGAGUAAGAAGGGAGUUAAACAUAUGGUUGCACGCAAUAUACUAGAUAUGGAGGUGGGGAAAUCGAGUAUAAUAGAUUUGGGGAGGGAUUACAGAGAGCUUGGGUAUGAACUUGUGCAUAAGACUGAUGAUAAUGACGAGGUGGUCUUCUUCUAUGUGCUCGUUGUCCAACUAUAAUAUCAAGUUUAUCUUUCUCAUCCUUCUUCCUUCCAGUUUUCAUAACUUGAUUGCAAUAUUUUCCCAAAUGUUUCACGGAUUUAUCAUGUCCAUCUUGCUCCUAAAAUUUCAACAUCUCAAGGAUUGGAGGAAGGUUAACACUUGAAUACAUGCCCCAGUCUUUGUAUGAAACAUCUUUUUUACCCGUAGGUCCUAGGGAACUUUUCAUAGCCUUUUCUGCACUCUUCAUUUUUUCAACCAUUUUUCCUGGCUCUUCUGACAUGCUAGACUUCUUGUUAAGAAAUUUUUUGGUCCAGUUAACUUAAAAGUAGGCUCAGGAGUAUAGCAAUGAUCAGCAAGAGUAUUUAACAUGGAUCCACUAGUUGCAUAGGGAAGCACAACCAUUGGCGGCUAGCUAAUGUGGUUGUCUACACAGAGGAUUGAGCAACAAAAUCACAGAAGGUAUGUGAUGCUAUGAAUAUGGUAGGUUUAUACUGAGGAGUUAAUAAACAGUGGUGGAAGUAUUGAAAUUCUUUUGGCUUGUAAUGAAUUCUGAGUCAUGUUACAGUGCAUCAACAAUAAUGGGAAACUGACUUUACGACUUUAGUAGAAAACUUGAGGUAUUUGUAGGAUCAAUAGCAGAAAAUGGAAAGGGAGGCAACCCACUGGCCCAAGAUCAAUACAUUUCCAUCAUUUUCUAUCUUAGUCUCAAAUUCUCUUCCUUUAAACUCUCAUUUUCCUGACUCUUUAUUUGAUCCAUGAGGUUACUCUCUAUAUCCUUGUUGGACAAAGCUAAACCUUUCUAAGAUUUGGUGUGAUGUGGAGCACCAGCUACAAUGUCACAAUUCCAUAAACCAACCACCUUGAACUAACUAAAUAAGAGAUAACAAACGUGUUAGAGUUAAACACUUUCUCAAAACCUUUUUCUUUUUCUUUUCUUUAGAAAAGAUCACUGAACCCAAGAAGGGCGCCUAUAUAUCUCACUCUCGAGAGAGGUGAAUCAAGUGUACAUAAUUUGUGAAGCUUGGCCACAAAAGGGCUAAAUUUUAAGAAGAAAAGAAAAUAACAAUUUGUCAAAAGAAUUGACGAAAAUCUUUUUAAAUUUUUCAGCUUUAACAUCCCUAUACAAAAUGAAAUCUAUGAUUGCCAAAGAAAAUCUUUUUGGGUUUUUGAUUUUUAAUUUCAUAUGAAAAUGAAACUUGAAGCUAUUAAAGGAAAAUCUUUUUGUAGUUUUCUUUUAAAGAUGAACAUAACAUCUACUCUAAAUGAAGAGUGAAGAAAAUAUUUUUGGAUUUUUCAGAUUCCUAUACGAAAUGAAACCUAUGAAUACCAAAGAAAAUCUUUUUGGGUUUUAGAUUUUGAAUUUCAGAAGAAAAUGAAACUUGAACUUAUUAAAGGAAAAUAUUUUUUGUUGUUUUCUUUUAAAGAUGUAUAUGAAACACCUACUCUAAUAAAGAGUUAAAAAAAUCUUUUUGGAUUUCUUUAAAUAAGAUCACCGAACCCUAGAAGGGCUGCCUACGUUCUCACUGUCAAAAGAGGAGAAUCAGGUGUGCGUAGUUCAUCCAAAUUGGAUAAUUAAAGAUUAAAUAAUAAACUAAACCUUGACUUGAGAAACAUGACCAAAGAUAGACAAUGAAAAAAAACACGGCAAUAAAAUCUUUUUGAGUUUUUAAUUUUGACACUUCAUAUAAAAAUGAUACCAACAACUAUGAAAGAAAUUUUUUUUUGGUAUUUUUAUUAUAUGAAAUGUAAAAAACUCCUACCAUCUUUUGAAUUUUCCUUUUAUAAAUAGUUUCUAUUUAAAAAAAAAAUAUUUUAGGAGUUUUCGAAUUGUGAAUACUUACUAAAGGAACAAAAGGAAAAUCUUUUUGAUGUUUUUGUUUUUUUAAGAAAACGAAUGCAAAAUGUAAAACUCUUUUUGAAUUUUUGAAUUGUGAAAAACAAAAGUCAUAAAGAACUCUAAACACUACAAAACUCUUUUUUUGAUUCACCUUUUUUUUUGAAUUUUUCUUGCCUAAACACAUACUCCUUUAAUUCUAACAAAUGUUUUCCCUAAACCAGUAUAAAGAUGCAAUAAUUAACACAUAGGGAUGCUUUAGGGGUGAGUCUUCUACAAAGGACCAAGUGGGUCCUACUAGGUCUCAAUAUGAUGCAGAUAAGCAUGACCUAAAGGUUGACCUAUAUUGGGGUCCACUAACAAUGUCGUUCGGGGGAGCAUAUGGUCGAUAGUGGCUGCUUUGCUUUCCACCUACUCCAUAUAUCCGAUGGUGCUCCCUCCUAAAAUAAGGGUGACGCAGCUACAGUUCAUGUACACGACGUGUACUCCGAGACUUAUUGCAGAAAGAAUUUCAAUGUUGUACACGACUUGUCAUCCCAUGGCUCUGCUUCCCUUACUUGAUUGCAAUAUUGUCCCAAAUGUUUCACGGAUUUCUCAUGUCCAUCUUGCUUCUCAAAUUUCAAUAUCUCAAGAAUUGGAGGAAGGUUAACACUUGAAGACAUGCCCCAGUCUUUGUAUGAAACAUCUUCUUUACCCGUAGGUCCUAGGGAACUUUUCAUAGCCUUUUCUGCACUCUUCAAUUUUUCAACCAUUUUUCCUGGCUAUUCUGACAUGCUAGACUUAUUGUUAAGAAAUUUUUGUGGUCCAGUUAACUUAGAAGUAGGCUCAAGAGUAUAGCAAUGAUCGGCAAGAGUAUUGAACAUGGAUCCACUAGUUGCAUAGGGAAGCACAACCAUUGGCGGCUAGCUAAUGUGGUUGUCUACACAAAGGAUUGAGCAACAAAAUCACAGACAGUAUGUGGUGCUAUGAAUGUGGUAUGCUUAUACUAAGGAGCUUGAUAAAGAGUGGUGGAAGUAUUGGAAUUCUUUUGGGUUGUAAUGAAUUCUGAGACAUGUUACAGUGCAUCAACAAUAAUAGGAAACUGACUUUGAGAUUUUGGUAGAAAACUCGAGGUAUUUGUAGGAUCAAUAGCGAAAAAUGGAGAGGGAAGCAACCCACUGGCCCAAGCUUGAUACAUUUCCAUCAUUUUCUAUCUUAGUCUCAAAUUCUCUUCCUUUAAACUCUCAUUUUCCUGACUCUUUAUUUCAUCCAUGAGGCACUCUCUAUAUCUUUGUUGGACACAGCUAAACCUUCCUAAGAUUUGGUAUGAUGUGGAGGACCAUCUACAAUGCUGCAAUGCCAUCAACUAACCACCUUAAACUAACUGAACAAGAGAUAACAAACGUGUUAAAGUUCAACACUUUCUCAAAACCUUUUUCUUUUUCUUUUCUUUGGAAAAGAUCACUGAACCCAAGAAGGGUGCCUAUGUAUCUCACUCCCGAGAGAGGAGAAUCAAGUGUGCAUAGUUCGUGAAGUUUGGCCACAAAAAGGCCAAUAAAACUCUUUCAUUUUUUUUUUGAAAUUUUAAGAAGAAAAUAAAAUAACAAUUUGUCAAAAGAAUUGAUGAAAAUCUUUUUGAAUUUUUCAGCUUUAACAUCCCUAUACAAAAUGAAAUCUAUGAUUACCAAAGAAAAUCUUUUUGGAUUUUUGAUUUUUAAUUUCAUAUGAAAAUGAAACUUGAAGCUAUUAAAGGAAAACCUUUUUGUAGUUUUCUUUUAAAGAUGUAUAUGACACCUACUCUAAAUUAAGAGUGAAGAAAAUCUUUUUGGAUUUUUUAGAUUCCUAUACGAAAUGAAACCUAUGAAUACCAAAGAAAAUCUUUUUGGGUUUUAGAUUUUAAAUUUCAUAUGAAAAUGAAACUUGAACCUAUUAAAGGAAAAUCUUUUCUGUUGUUUUCUUUUAAAGAUGUAUAUGAAACACCUACUCUAAUAAAGAUUUAAAAAAAUCUUUUAGGAUUUUUUGAAAUAAGAUCACCGAACCCUAGAAGGGCUGCCUACGUAUCUCACGCCCGAAAGAGGAGAAUCAGGUGUGCGUAGUUUGUCCAGAUUGGAUAAUUAAAGAUUAAAAAACAAACUAAACCUUGACUUGAGAAACAUGACCAAAGUUAGACGAUGGAAAAAAACACGGCAAUAAAAUCUUUUUGAGUUUUCAAUUUUAACACUUCACAUAAAAAUGACACCAUCAACUAUGAAAGAAAUUUUUUUUUUGGUAUUUUUAUUAUAUAAAAUGUACAAAACUCCUACCAUCUUUUGAAUUUUCCUUUUAUAAAAAGAUCCUAUUGAAAAAAAUAUAUUUUUGGAGUUUUCGAAUUGUGAAUACUUACUAAAGAAACAAAAGGAAAAUCUUUUUUAUGUGUUUGUUUUAUUAAGAAAAUGAGUGCAAAAGGUAAAACUCUUUUUGAAUUUUUGGAUUGUGAAAAACAAAAGCCAUAAAGAACACUAAAAACUACAAAACUCUUUUUUGAUUCACUUUUUUUUCGGAAUUGUUCUUGCCUAAACACACGCUCCUUUAAUUCUAACACAAGGACCAAGUGGGUCCUACUAAGUCUCAAUAUGAUGCAGAUAAGCAUGACCUAAAGGUUGACCUACGUUGGGGUCUACGAACAAGGUUGUUCGGGGGAGCACUUGGUCGAUAGUGGCUGCUUUGCUUUCCACCUACUCUAUAAAUCCGAUGGCUCUCCCUCCUAAAAUAAGGGUGACUCAACUACAGUUCGUGUACACGACGUGUACUCCGAGACUUAUUGCAUAAAGAAUGACUCGGGUUAUGCACAUGAUGCUAGAUAUAAAGCGGUAACACAUAAAAAAGUAUAAACAUGUAUCACGUAGGCACUCAAUAAUGAUAAAGUAGUAACACAAACACUAAUACAAGCAAUGUUUAUACACCUACAAUGUCAAACUAAGCCGAUACAACUCCAAAAAAUAAGCUCGAAUUCUAAAAAAUCCUCAGCAGAGUUGCCAGAGCUGUCACACCUAUUUUUAUACCAAAAAGAUUCAGCUUUUAAGUUUGAAAAGGGUUUUUAUUAUUAAAGUAAAAAAAUAAAGAUUUGCUUCAAAAAAAAUUCAUUUCACAAUUAAAUUUAGAGUCGCCACUUGGCAUAAUCAAGUGUGCCAAGUCACCUUUGAAAAAUCAUUUUUAAAAUGAUUUGACUCUUUAAACUGAUUUGCAAACAGAGAUUAAGAAAUUUUGUUGACCAAGGAGAAGGUGUCAAGAACCCCUCGAUCCCGUGCUUCAACCACGGUCUCUUGGUGAAGUGUAUUGGCAAGUAAGUCACUAUGAAUAUAUAAACCCACAAAAGACACAUAAAACAAGCAAACAAACACAUCAAACAAUAAUCCAAAAAACCAAAAUAAUAAUGUCCAGUCCAAUAAUACAGUCUUAAAUAAAUAAAAUCGAAAAAAUGUGAAUAAUAUAAAUCUUAUUCUAAACUAGUCCUAGACUAAGAUCCACCCAAUGCCUCAGUCCUUCGACACAAAUAUCCUCCGAAUACAAAAUACUUUGAGGCAUUCCCCGACGAAUAAACACAAAUAUCUCGGGGCAUUCCCUGGCCCAAUGAUACAUUUAAUCCAAAUAGCAAACUAAAACCAAACCAUUCAUCAUAUUUCAUAUUCAAAUAUUCAACAAAAUCAUUUAAUCCUAAAAUUUUGCCUACUCGGAUUUACAUUUGCCUAUCCGCUUCAACAUAUCAUAAUUCUACCACGUUCCAACAUAAUUCAUGCUUAUUCCAAAUUAAACAAAAACAACAAUGAACCAAAAUUGAACUUCAUUCACCCUUCUCACCAAUUUCUCAAUUCCAUCCCAAACAACCAAUUUUACUUUUCAAACGAGAUUUCAUUUUCAUUUCACCAUCUAAACCAUAAUCAAGGGAAUCAACCGUAAAUCAAAACAAACAUGCAUUCAUCACCAACAAGGAUCAAACAAUAAUAAUAUUCAAUCCAAAAAUAGCAAAAUAUAGUAAAUAAUAAAAUAAAAGAGGUAAAGAGUAGAAUUGGACCUUCUGAUAAUUUGCUUUUGUUGAUAAUGAUAUUUAAGAGAACCUGGAUUUAGAAUCCCGAAUAGAAACCUACACAGCGAACCCAACUCGUAUCAAUAAAUAAUGACCCGAAUGGAUUUGAAUCCCAAGAAAGAAGAAGUAGCACUCAAAUCGAUAUCAAAAUCAUGAAAAUUUAAGAAAGCCCGUAUCCAAGAUUUUGAAACACAGACAAACAGAUCGAAAAUCAAGUUGUUACCGAAGAAAAUUGAGAAAAACCGUGGGAGAUAUCGCUGUAUUUUUUACUAGAUCUCACCGGAGUCGUCUUGUUUGAUCGCUGCUCUGUAUUUCGCAGUGAUGGAGACCAAUUUGCAGCUUCGAUGAUGCCUAAAUCCGUCGAACGAACAUUAAUUUCAGCAACUUUGAAAUUAAAUCGAUCGAACAACGACUACAAACCAACUCCGACAAAAUUUUGCCAAAAAAACAAAAGAGAUGAUCGGAUUUCUCAAAAUUACUUCAUUCUCGACCCUUUUUUACAGUGUGUGCGCGUGUUUGCAGGUAUUAUGAGGAUUGUGAAUAUGGAUUCUCAGAAUUGCUGUUGGAAUCAUGAGUAUAUGAGAUGAGUGUGUGUAUAUUCUAUUAUUGAAAGAAAAUGGAGCCGCUACUCCUCUAUUUUUUGAUCUUCAAAAGAAAAAAAAUGGAGAUGAGAAUGGUUACCCCAAACAAUGGAAAAGCUUCUAUAUAUUAAUGGUAUUUCCUUUUAUUCCCCCCUCAAUGAAUUGUGUCCAUUGCUCUUAAAGGAAAAAAAUGACAAAAGUGUGAGUUUUUUAGGGGUGGGGACCACGUAGGUAGUGAGGUAGGGUAGGAAGUGAGAUGGAUGAGGGGCGUGAGUUAGUUGAGAUAAAUUUUGUUAGGAUAAGAGAAUAUUAGGGAUUUGAUUUGUUAGGGAUUUAUUGAAAUUUUAUUAUUUUUUUGUAUUUUUGUGGGGUAUAAUCGCAUGGGUGAGGGUGUAUGAUAAUGUGAGAUGGAAAAUGGAUGAAUUGGGUUUUAGAAGGGAGAAAAUUAGAUGUCUGCACUUACCAAUUUAGGACAACACAUCUAUUAACUUAUACAUAUACGUAGAAACUCAAUUAAGAAUUAAACAACACCUCAAGCAUGAUAUCAUCAUUCACAACUACCUUGCACCAUAAAGUCAAGUAAACCAGAGAAACAGGGAAUGAAUACAUAUACUCAACAAAUAAAUCCAUGACUAGUGAUGACUAACUCGACCUUUUCAUAAUUAUAUUUUCAUUUCACUUCAACAUUUAAUUAUAUUAUUUAUGUAUGGAUAUUUCCCGGACCACUCAUGGUUCUAAAUAAUAAUAAUAAUAUCAAUUGGUUCACUGAGGGAACCCAAUAUAUCAACAACAAUGGAACUUGAUCCAGUCAUGGAACCGUCAAACUUACCAAAACCUUGUACACACAAACUAUGGGUCUUAUACUUGUCCACUAGCCAUGAUAACUUAGUCUUAUAUUAUAAAUCCAUGUAACAAUAGAUUCAAUCAUAAUAUGAGUAGUACAACCACACUUGCAUUUAAAAUAAGUCACUUUACACAAUCUCAUUUUAGGUGAUUAAGCAACUUGUAAUACCAUCCAAUAAGUCAAUACACACCUUAUGUAUUGCAGCAAGUAGACAAAAGGGGUAGUUUACAAGAACAUAUGAAUUAAAUUAAUUCUCAACUACAUUGAACCACCGUCUACCCCUUUCUAGUAAAUAUAAUAUCUGGUCUAAAUAACACUUAGAACAAGUACACAUAAAAGUAGUUGUAAAACUAAUCUUAGACAACCAGUAUCUAGAAUACCACACAAAUAUUCUAUGCAAAAUUUAUUGCUUCCAACCUUUCAUCUUAUAUCUAGUUCCUAUCCUAUUCACACCAUCAAUCUAUUAAACUGGGAACGAAACAUUCAUAUCUGACCUACCAACACCUACCAAUGUAUCUACAACACAUUACCACAACCAACCAUUUCCACUCAUUAAUUGAUUAAUUAAGAACAAAUAAUUAUAGAAAAACAUACAUAACAUCACAAAACUCUUUCAACAAAAUUCAUCUUAUUCACAUAACCUGAAAAAACGAGUUUAUCCAUCUAUACACCUUGCUUGUAGGACUAUGCAUUAAAUCUUCCAUCAAUCUUUGUUAUGCAUACAUUUUCUAAUACAGGUCUGUGCUACUCAAUUAAACCUAGCCCACCUUGGCAUAAAGCAACUAAUAUGCAGUUAUGAACUUGAGAUUCUGUCUCUAUUCUUGUGAUUAUUGAGUGAAAUCCAUGAGAAAGCAUUAUGUUCUAACCCUUUAGAGUGUAUUUCUUCUCCAUUGCUCUAGAACUUUGAGGCAACCCUAGUGUGUUUUAGAAUAAAGCCUUCUACUUGUUUGCAAUUAAAGGGACAAUGAAAAAUAAGGAAAAAGUAGGAGUAUUUCUUAUUACCUCAAGUUUUUAAGCUCUUGAUCCAACAAAAGAUAGUCAUUAUAUUAUCUUUCCAAUGCUACCGAUCUCAUCUUAAUCUGGUAUCAUAGUCACAAGUUAUGGAAAAUUAUCUGAUAAACUACCAAACUACCAGUGACAACGGCCCUGGCAAUGACUCAUUGCCAAACAUAAUGAGUCAUAGCAAAAUUCAUUGUCACGGUAGUAAAAUGAGGGACUAAGACUUUAUCCCAGUGAGGACGAGUCCAUCAUAUGACUCGUAAUAAUUCUAAAUGAGUCGUGAGGUAGACCCAUCAUCAAUAUAGUAAAAACCAUGGGAUCAAUUCCAUGAAAAUGACUCCUCAUAAUGACUCAUGACCAAACCUAACAAGUCAUUACCUAAACUAUGUCGACUAUUUCCUAAAAUUUCUGAUGUACUAAGAAGGGCUUUUUGGUCUUUUUUUAUCAUUUGAUAACUCCUAACACACAUUGUAUAGGAUUCCCUAAGGGUGGCAUAUAAGCCUAAUUUCCCCCAAAGUCCCCAAAAAAUCACAAAACCAAGAAAAAUGAGUUAUUAUUUUUCUCUGAAGCCAAGUUAGAGUUCCUCAAUCUCAAGUUGAAAUUCCAAGGAUUUCUCCAAGGCUACCAUCUCUAGGUAUGUGGGAUUUCAUGAAUGGGUUCCUUCCACCCAUUGAGUCCAAAAGGAUUCUUAAAUUCUCAAGUUUAAUUCCCUUUUAAGUUUUGGGUUCCAGGUCAAAUAUGAGUUUUCUUAAUUUCUUUAAUUUAUUCCUAUAACUAAACCAUGAAGAUAUGUUUUUCCAUAGGCUUAGAAUCUUCUUAUACCUAAAAUCAUGAAUUUCCCUUAGUAUUGAUCAAUCAUUGAGUUUUGUCUUGAAUUAUGAAAUUUCCUAUUAUGGUCAGCUUUCAAUAUUAUCACAUUCAGUUGCAUUAAUCAGAGCUGGUGGAUUAUGAAUACUCGAUACCUAGGGAUUCAUGCAUAUAUGAUGUUCCAGCAUUUGAUGAAAUAAUUCACAUUUUUAACGAGGGAUAAUUAUUGUUUACUAGUAAUUAUUAGGGUAUUUGAUGAUUGUGCUACUUAUUCUCAGAAAACAAAUUCAAAAUCAAGAACAACUUGGAAAAGUUAGUACUAGAUGGAUGCGAUGGACCAACUGACAGACCAUUAGACCUGUGAUAGACCAUCAACAUGGAUUUCACCACUUGGGCAAAAAAUAGAUGAUCUGAUGGAGGGCAACGAUCAAAGUGACAAACCGUCGAACAUGCAAUGGGUCAUCUCUUUGGUCGUCGUAUGUUAAGAAGAUCUAUAAAAUUUUUAAAGAUCAAGGAUGAGAGGAACAAUGGACCAUCAGACUUGUGAUGGGCCGUCGCUCUGACCAUCGACCAUAAUAGCAAAACAGUAUUGAACUAGAUAACUCCCAAUGGACUGACUAAUGGACCAUUAUUUGUCAGAUAGUCCGUCAGGCAUGCCGUCGACAAUGAUGUGGCAGCCUGAGUUGAAUUAAUAAUUGCAACUUUUAAGAAGCCUAUAAAUACCUAACUUAGGGUCAUAUUAGGGAUCUUUUGGCUAUUGGCUGAAGUUGUAACAUACAAUUGACUGAGAAUCAAGUUGAGAGCAUAGGAAUUUCACUAUUGUUGCUUGUAAUUUGGGGAUUACAAAAACAUCUUUGAUUUUAUAAGUUGAUUCUAAAUUGCUUAUGAAAUGCAUAUUGUUUUUCAUAAGUAUGGCUAAAACUCCCAUAACUAGGGUUAUGGGGGCCUUGGUGUAAUUCAAUGUUAGGGUUGAGGGACUGAUAAAACCUUGAUAAUAAUUUCAAUUACAUAACCUUCUCUUCAAUUUAAUGAUUCUUCUUGGUUGCAAACUUAAGAUAUGUGUCUAUGAACAUUUUUCUUGAACAAAGAAGUUAGUGUUGGUAAAAGAUAAGGGUUACGAGAUGAUUAUAGUAUUUUCCCUCUAAAUUUAUGAUUGAUGCCUUAACCGGAUCAAUUUUGUAAGGAUUUAGUUGUUUUACCAAUUUAUCACUUUAAGUUUGAAAGAAUUGAAUUGAAUCCAUAUUUGAAGGUUGAAAAACAAUUAGAUGGAAGUAAUUAUACAAUUGUCCUUGUAAUUGGAAUUGUUGAUGUAUGGAUUUGUAAAAACCCACAGCCCUUAGUAUUAAAACACCUUGGUAAUCAUAACCUUAGUUUAUUAAUCCUCAUUCUCUAUACAUUGAAACUUAAACAUUAGUUUUUAAUACUUUGCAAACACUCAAACCACUAUUCAUAACAACAAAAACCCUAUUUUAAUUUUGAAAACUUAUGACUAACAGUCCAUUAAUAAUCAUAAGACUUAGUUAACACCUUAUUCCUUGUCGGAUUCAACCCUAACGUAGUUGUGUUAUAUAUUUGACAACGACCACUUACGCUCUUUUAAGAGAGUUGUAAUUUAGGAUUAUCAAAUUUUGGAAUCGUUGCUAGGGAAUGCGGUUGUUAAAAAAGUAUUUGUGCAUUAAUUGACUUUUAGUCAAGUUUCUUAAUUUUACUUUUAUUUAUUGUUUUUGAUAAUUGAAGGCUAUUUAUUGUGCAUGCCAUAAAUAGUAAGGUCAAUAUAGCCAUUAUGACCCUUCAACCCAGAACCUCAAAGAGUUGUGAGAGAAAAUAUGACUGAAUAAUAAAAGGCUACAAGACUUGCUGCUUUGGCAAAUACACAGGUAAAUUAACAGAAUGCAGACAAUCCCAGAUGUGUGCCUAAUAUAGAUAAUGAUGACUUGGGUGAUGAUGACUUGGUUGAUCCUCUGAACAGGCGGCUUGCAAGAACUAUAGCCGCACCAGUAAAUUAGAAUAGGCAAGCUAGAGGGAGAGUGCACCACCAGCGCGCCUGCGGUGUACUUUGAUCUAGAUGAUGAUAAUUAAGAUCAUUUUGUUGGAGCUAUUGCUACAGAAGAAAACAUUCUACCACCAUUGGCUCCUGAGGUAAAAUUUAAUAUCAUGAGCUCAAUAAUCCAACUGCUCAACUUGAAGGGGCUAUUGGGUGAAAUGCUGGGGGAUGAUCCUAAUAUACAUUUGGUGAACUUCAUCAAUAUUUGCAAGUAAUUUGACAAUCCUAGAGUAGGGUAAAAUGCCAUUGUCUGGGUUAUUUCCUUUGUCUCUAUCUUGAGAGGCAACUCUAUGGUUGAAUGAGUUGGCACUCGAUUCUAUAACAAACUAGAGGAAACUAAAAAGAGUUUUCCUAGAAAGGUUCUUUUCGUCUUCUAGGAUGUUAUUGUUGAGGGAUGAAAUCAACAACUUUAGGAAACUACCGAACGAGGCCUUUCAUGAACAUGGAUGUGAUUCAAGAAGAAAUUAACGUGAUAUCCAAACCUCAAGUAGCCUAAAGAGCAUCUAUUGGGGAUGUUCCAUAAGGCUUUGAAUUCCAUUGCAAAGCCAACCAUAGAUACUAUAGCAGGAGAAGCUUUCAUAGAUCUCACUUUCACUGAGGCUUUGGAGAUAUUAGAGAAAAUGACUAAGAGAAGUAGAUCUUGGCAUGCUAUGGAUUCUGAGGUAGCAAGCAAUACUUAUUCUAGUGGGAUGUUGGCAGGGCAACAUUAGAGAGAAGAGGAACGUGAUCAAGAUAUGGAUCAAAUAAAGACAUAGCUAGAUUGCCUACAAAGAAUUUGCUCUCGAGAAAGAUAGAGAAGGUCAAAGUUGUGGGGUUACAUAGUAGGGAAACUAAAUCUGAUUCUGAGGAGGAAGCAAACUACUAAAAUAACUAGGCGGUUUUGAGCUAGUAGACAAGGAAUUCAAGGUCCAAAUUCUUAUGAUAAAGCUGGUUAUUAAGAUAAUGACCAAAGAAACUAGAAGAAUGAAAAUGAUAGAAAAGGACUAUAUAAACUACUUGGGAGCCAUGAUAAUGUUGUAAAUAAUUUUUGGAAGAUGUCUAUGGGAUAUGAUGGACAAAUUAUUGAAAGAAGUAAAGUCAAUAAAUGCCAGAGUUAGGGAAAUAAAGAGCGACUUGUCGACUAUGAGUCAGUUACUUGACUCACACUCAACAUCUAUUAAAUAAUUGGAGCAGCGGAUGAGACAAUUAGCAGCAAUGUUCAACCAAAGAAAAACCAGGACUUUACCAAGUGACACAGUUAAAAACCCGAUGAAUAAUGGUUCAUGUAUGGCUAUUUAAACUAGGAGAAGUAAGAUGCUACCUGGUCCAUGUCAGGUAGCACCAUCUCAUAAUGAUGUGGUAGAGUUAGAAGAGGAGGUGAAUAAUGACUCACUAAUAGAAUCUAGAAAGCCUAGAGAUUUAUAAAAGAAGAGUACAGAAGUGGAAAGAACAUCUAAGCCAAAAUAGGUUCAUGAUGUAGAGAAAAGCAAACAAAAGGUGGUAGAGGUUACUCCAACAAGAAUUACAAAACCACCACCUCAAUUUCCAUAUAGAUUAAAGAAGAAAGAAGAUGGGGGUAAGUUUAGAAAAUUCAUGGCUAUGCUGAAGUAAUUGUAAGUGAAUGUGCCUUUAGUUGAGGCUUAGAGCAAAUACCGGGAUACACUACACUUAUGAAGGACCUUGUGAUGAAGACAGUUAGUUGCGAUCUUGUGGAUAACCUUCAUCAUUGUAGCCUUAUUACUACUAGAUCAUUAGUGCAGAAGAAAGCUAAUCUGGGAAAAUUCACCAUCUCGUGUACAAUUGGAGCAUUUAGUUUUGCUAAAGCACAUUAUGAUCUUGGAGAAAGCGUCAACCUUAUGCCAUUAGCAAUCUUCAAACAAUUGGGUUUAGGGACUCCUAAGCCAACUACUAUGCGACUAUUGAUAGCAGAUUGGUUGGUUUAAAGACUGGUGGGGAUUCUAUCUGAUGUACUUGUAGAGGUGGCCAGCUUUAUAUUUCCCGUAAACAUCAGAAUUCUUGAUUGUGAACUGGAUUUUGAAGUACCCAUAAUUUUGGGUAGGCCAUUUCAAGCAACCAGGAGAGUGCUAGUCAAUAUGGAACCGAAUGAGUUUAAAUUUAGGAUCAAUGAGGAAGAAAUUAUCUUUGAUGUUUAUCAAUCUGUGAAGCAACCUAGGAAAAUGACUAUAGUCUCGGUCAUUGAUGUUAUUGAUGAAGAUGAUCUAAUUUUUCCAGUUGAGAAAAGGUUUGUAAUGGAAACCUUGACUACAGUUUUGAUGAAUUUGACAGUGAAGGAAUUAAUGAGUAUGACGAGACAGUGUGCACAUUGAUUGCAAUGGAGUCAUUUUCGUAUGCCUCGAAGAAGCUAGACUAGGAUUUAAAAAAAUCAUCUAACACCACCAGCCACUCUUUCUAUUGAAGAGCCACCAGUGUUUUACAGCAUGUGCAUUUUGGUGAUGAAAACACUUUAUCGAUGUUUAUUGCAGUGGAUUUAGUGGAGCAUCAAGUUGAGGCUCUUAUUUUUGUAUUGAGGUGCUAUAAGAGUGACAUUAGGAGGACAAUUUUUAACAUCAUAGGCAUUCCACUGGGCAUCUUCACUCAUAAGAUUCAGCUGGAAGAAGAUUAUACUCCCUCUAUUAUGCAUCAGCACAGGCUAAAUCCACCGAUGCAAAAAGUAGUGAAGAAGGAGAUAAUGAAGUGGUUGGUUAUUGGGAUACUUUAACUAAUUUUUAUAGUAAGUGAGUGAGUCCUGUUUAGUGUGUGCCAAAGAAAGGCGGCAUGACGAUGAUGGAAAAUAAAAAUAAUGAGUUAAUUUCACUCAGGCGAGUGAUUGGUUGGCGAGUGUGUAUAGAUUAAAGGAAAUUGAAUUCUUGAACAUUAAAGGUCAUUUUCCAAUGCCUUUCAUGGACCAAAUGCUUGAUUGAUUGGUAGGAAGGGUUGGUAUUGCUUUAUAGAUAGAUACUCAGGCUACAAUAAAAUAUUGAUUGCACAUAAGGAUUAGGAGAAAAUAAUGUUCACUAGUCCAUGUAGAAUAUUUGCAUUCAAGAGAAUGUCGUUUGUAUUGUGUAAUGCAUUGGCCACUUUCCAGAGGUGUAUGAUUUCCAUCUUUUCAGGUAUGGUGGAAUACACUUUGGAAGUAUUCAUGGAUGAUUUUUUUCAUGGUUGGUGAUUCAUUUGACAGUUGCAUAGUGACUCUAGGUAAUGCAUUGCAAUGGUGUGAAGAGUUCAACCUUGUCCUAAAUUGGGAAAAAUGUCAAUACAUGGUGAAGGAAGGCAUAGUAUUAGGACAUAAAAUUUCAAAAAAAGAAAUUGAGGUUGAUAUAGCAAAAAUUAAAGUUAUUAAAAACUACCUCCUCCUAUUCCUAUGAAAGGGGUGUGAAGUUUCCUAGUCCAUGAUGGUUUCUAUUGUUAAUCUAUCAUCAGUUGUUCCUUAAUAGAAUAUGGGCGUGAAAGAUAGACUCUCAUAUGAAGAGAUCCCAGUCGAGAUCCUUGAUUAUCAAAGUUAUAGGAUGAGAAAUAAAGAGGUUACCUUAGUAAAGGUUCUAUGAAGAAAUUAGUUAGUUGAGGGAGCAACAUGGGAAGCAGAGGAAGAUAUGAUGACCAAGUACCCCCAUAUUUACUCUUCAAACUCAGUCCCACCUUGAGGUAAUAGUUCCCUUGAUUAAUUUAUUCUUUCAUUUUUAUCUCAGGCCAUCCAACUAUUUUCAUGUCAUAGAAUACAUUCACAAGUUUAGUUCAGUCCAUCCAGAUUCAGAUAUCAACUCAUGGUUUAGCUCGUAAGUGUUCAGUGCAAAAUUUCAACUUUUCCCUUAGUACUUCAGCUUAGUUUUAUUUCAGGGAUAAAUGAUCCCUAGUGAAAGAUAUUGUACUACCCCAAGUUUUUAAAAUCUAGACCCACCAAAAGAUAGGCCAUUGAAUUAGCUUUCUAGUGCCACCAGUCUCACUAAGAUCCGAUAUCGUAUUAAGAAGUUAUGACAAAUUGACUGAGGAACUAACAAACUAUGAAGGACAAUGGCCCUAACAAUGACACAUUUUUAUACACAUGAGUCAUAGCGAAGACUCGUUGUCAUUCAUCCAUUGGGUAACACUUUUGGCAUAACUUACCCGUGGUCUAUAUUAAUGGCUUAUGCCAUGUAGGAGGGUACAACUGAAUGUUGGGGGACAUAUGGAGGAACAUAUCAUAAUGGAGUGGAAGGAUUUCAACCGAGAUAACAAAUUGGCUCGCUACCUUCUAAGUCUAGUUUUCAAGUUGUGAAGGUGCAUAGGAGUUUUGAGGUAGAAUGUUGAUAGGGACCUAGAGAGUCGAAUCCUUCCAUCAUCUCAAGAUAAAGGUUCUAACCUUCAAGAGCAAGAAAAAAAAAGGAAGAUGGGUAAUAACGACAAGAUAAAUAGUGCAAUAGAGGAUGAUGAUGAUAAUACCCCUCCUACAAAAGCCUUAUUUCCUUAUGAGCAUAUAGAGCAUGGCCUAUCUACCAUGAGGAGAUUCAUAGAGCGGGCUCACUUUAUUCCUCAUUGUUUAGCCCCCUCUAUUUCUAGAGCCUCACCAGCCAUAGCUCUAGAUUUUCUAGAUCACCCAAGGGAUUUGGAUGAGGUCAAGAAGAAGGGGCACACUCAAAACUACAAACUGCCUCGGAUCUAAAAGACCAUUAAGGUUAUGUUAAAGUACGUCAUCCCUAAAAAAUUGCUUCCUAAUCUGGAGAGAGAGUAUAUAUAGAAGCUCUACUUUCUAAGAGAUUUGGAAAGAGAGGGCUUCGACCUUUGAGUCAUAGAUACGAUAUGGAAUCCAGCUAGAUCCUUGAGUACAUGUCAGUCUACCUCUAAUUCCCCUAUUUUAUUUCUAAAUUUUAGAUUUGGGUUGCCCCUAAUUGAGGCAUGUAACAAACAAUCUCACUUUUAUUUUCACAGAUAUAGAUAUUCCUUUUUUGGUAAACCAACAGCUUUUUUAUUCAAAACCAUAAAAUUAUAUUACAAAACAAAAUAGAUGCAGAACAUCUAUUUCUAAGUUCUAGAAACCUAUAUUAUCGAUCCUAGUUAAGCUUAAAAUAGAUAUACAAAAACCAAAAAAAAUUGAGAUAAAGCAAGUAAAUACUGCUAGGUCUUGAUCUAAGGUGUGUUUAUGCACUUUAGUGUUGUUAUCCUAGCUUAUUUAGCCUUGUUUUGAGGGAAAUUCGUGCUCUUUGUGUUUUAAUGAUGAUAUAAAUUAGAAUAUAAGUUUUUAAGUAUUUGAUUACAAUGUUUAAAGGUAUUUUCAAACAAGUUUGGGUUCAAAUCGAUCAUUUAGAGUCCAGACGAGAAAACUAGUUUUACUAGCUUGAGCUAGGUGAUGUUCUACUCUAUCGUGAUGGAUUCUAAUGUGUUGAAUGAGUUCCUAAUGGUUGUAUUGUGUAAUUAUGUGGGGUAAAUUUUUUUAUUGUGUUUAAAGUAUAAUUUAAUCAAGCCAAGAAUCAAAACCAAGUUAACGAUAAAAAGAGGCAAAACUAGUAGUCUUAGCUUAAGUUUCUAGUUUAUCGUCUUGGAUGUGUUGUUUUGAGCUCUAAUUUGUUGUGUUUAAUGGUAUAUGAUGCUUUUUGAGUUGAUUAUGAUGAUAUAUUAAGGAUAUAAAAUCUUCAAAUCAAGUGGAAACAGUAUGAAAAGGCUUGGAAUGGAUCAACGAAAGCACAAGACACAACUUGACGCGAAUUGAACACCCUGGAUGUCAAAGGCACGUCGCGGUCUCAAACCAUGGAAAACUGGUGAUUUCAACACAUGGUUGGCUUCCUAAGGGACCCAAAAUAGUGGGUAUCCAUAAUAAGGGUGCAUCGCGUAGUUAGAUGCACAAAAUUAGCCCUACAACGCGGCCUAAUGCAAAAACGUGGCAGUUCUAUCCUCCUAUAAAUAGGACACUUGUACUUAAUGUUAUAAACCUUGGACGACUUUGAAACUAGGAGAUGGUCUGAAAAACACUUCAAUUACGGUUUUUAUUCUUUAACUGUAGCAUUUUAAUUGAUUUUACCAUGCAUUUAUAUAUCUUGAUUACGAUUAUGUCUAUUAGCGGCUAAAAGCCCCCUUUCCGGGGUUAAAGACAAGAACAUGAUUGCUAUUUCUUGGAAUCGAAUUGAUUUUGUUUAUUUAUCAUAUUUUUUGUUUAUUUACCCUUGUUAUCAUUAUUGUAAGGAUUUGUGACCCUUGGUAUACACUUAUUAUUAUUUUUUUUGAACUCGGGAGGGGGAAUAAGAUGAUAGAACAUAGGGAUAAGUAGAGUAAGGUUCCUAUUCCUUUAAGAAAUAAGGAAUUAGAAUUAGCAUCUAGGAUAGAAAUAUACCUAGAAGACUUGAUUGGUUCACUACAGGAUGAAAUAUAAAUGUGUUUAGCUUAGUGCUCACGUCCCCGAUCAACAAUGUAGUUGUGGGUCUAAGUUAGAUAUGUGGUUAGAGGUUGGGAGACCAUGAUCAUAAAAUCAACCCCGUGAAUCAUCAACCAAGAUACAUAACUUAACCAAUGAAGUUAGAAUGCAUAGUAUGAAUGUUCUUAGUUCUUUAACCCCAGGUUUUUAUUCAUUGAUUGUCCAAAGUCAUUACUUUUACGCAUUGUUUAAUUUACUUUUAGUUAUAACACUCAAACUCUCUCUUGGUUACGUUGCGCUAAUUAAUCUCAAUAGUUAAACUAGAAUUGGAUAGUUGCUUAACACAAGUCUCUGAGGGAUCAUAUUUGGCUUUAUUUAAGGCCACUGUAUUACUUGGUGAGAACAUAUACACUUGCGUGUGCGCUUGGGCACAACAAGUUAUUGGCGCCAUUGCAGGGGACUUGUAAAUUGGAACCUAUUUUUGUUUUAGUUUUACUUUAUAGAUUUCUUUUUUGCUUUACACUUUUCUUUGGUAUUGAAUUUGCAGGAAACAAGUUGACAGAUUAGUAGGUUGGCACAAGAUAUGGAAUUGGUCAAACCAAAUCCCAACCCGAGCAACUGUAUCAUCAAUUGAGGAGAGAAGAAGAACUUCUCGACUAAUUCCCACAAAUUUACAAGGAACAAUAGGAUCCCGCUCUUAUGGUUAAAGAACAACUAGCCCACAGGACAGUUCGUGAAGUUAAAAUCCCACUUUCGAUAAAUUUGACCUUCCCUUUUCAAAAACUGACUGUUGGAGGCAAUUUUGAGUUGAAAUAGAACAUGGUGCAGCUUUUGAUCAGCAGUGGACAGUUUAUGGUGCUUUCACAUGAAGAUCCACAAGUCCAUAAAUUUUUCUCGAGAUCAGUGACACAUUCAUCCAGACGGGCGAGUUAACUAAUUAUGUAAUGCUGACAUAAUUCUUUUUUUCACUGUUGGGGGAAGAGAAAAUGUGGUUAAAUGUUGAGCCGACAAAUUCAAUCACAACCAAGGAUGACUUAGCCUGGAACCUCAUCCGAUUCUUUCUAUUUAGCAAGACUAUGAGAUUGUGUAGUGAGAUUAUGUGCUUCAAACAGAAGCCAAAUGAGAAUUUAUGUCAUGCUUAGGAGUGAUUCAAAGCUCUUCUUUGGGACUGUCCAAAUCAUCAACUGUCCAAUGACGUAUUAGCUCACACUUUUGUUGAGGCACUUGACCAUAGCACAAAAAUUUUGCUAGAUUCAGUUGCAGUUGGUCAAGCAUUGGAGCUCAGUUGGUCAAGCAUUGGAGCUGACUUAUGAUGAGCUCUAUACUUUGUUGAAUCGGAUUGCAUAAGGAAAUCCUGAGUGAUAUUCACACUCAAGAAAUGCCACAAAGAAGGUUGCAGGUGUAUUGGAGGUGGACCAAUUUACUACUAUCUCCGCCCAAAUUUCUGCACUACAAAAUUAGAUAAGCAAUAUAAUGUUGGGGCUUACACAACUUAUAGCCACAGUUAAUGCAAUUCAAUAAACUAUAUUUCGUAAGAGGUUUGUGGUAACAAUGGGCAUGCAGCUACUAUGUGUGCUAAAAAUCCUGAGUCUGUGUUAUUUGUGGGCAAUGUUCAAAGGCUAAAUUACGGGAACUACAAUCUAAAGUGGCAGACUCAGCCACCAAAUCAGCAAUGGAGUGCUCGACAGUAGCAAAUUCAAGGCAAUUAGACCAUACCCCAGAAUAACAAUAUGGAAGAGAUGUUGAAACAAAUUAUGCUUGGUUAAGCUCAAUUAGCAGCAGAUAUAAAGAGCCAGCAAGCAACUAAAAGGAGUUUGGAGUUGUAAUUAGGUCAGAUUGUGCAGGCACAAAAUACCAGGCCUCAAGGUGGCUUGCCAAGUGACACUGAAAAUUCUAACUAAAAAAUGGAAAUCACUUUGGGGGGUGGUAAGGAGCUGAAUAAAGAACUUCUAAAAAAAUAAGGAGGUAGAUGAAGAGUUGACUCCCCAACCGGUAGAUGACAAAGUUUGUGUAAAAUUUGAGGAAGUCUAAGUACUCAAAAAUUAAAGUUGUUUAACAGAUGAAGGAGAUAACGCCAUUACCUUUCCGACAAAGUAAUAUAAAAAUGAAGGAGGAUGCAUGCUUCAAAAAGUUCUUUAACACAUUAAGAGAGCUGCACAUUUACUUACCUCUUUUAGAUAUUUUACAGGGAAUGCCCAAGUAUGCUAAGUACUUGAAGGAUGUGGUCUAUAAUAAAAUUAAGCUGCAAGAUGUGAAGGCCAUAGCACUUAGUGAGGAGUGAGCUCUGUAGUGACAUAAAAAAUCCCCAAAAAGCUCAAAAACCCAGGGAAGUUCACUCUCUCUAUUCAAAUUAGGAAUAGUCAAGUGGUGCACGCACUUAGUGACUAAUGGGAAAGCAUAAAUUUGAUGCCCCUUUCUUUUUUCAACACUUUAAGCUUGGGGAAGCCGAGAUCGAGCACUGUGUUACUGUAAAUGGCAAAUGGGACCAUAGCCUAUCCUGAAGGAGUCAUAGAGGAUGUUAUCAUCAAGGUUGGUAAGUUUAUUAUUCCUACUGACUUUAUUGUUUUAGAUUUUCAGGCAGAUAAAAGAGUACCAGUCAUCUUGGGACUCCAUUCUUGGUAAUAGGAAGAGCUUUAAUAGAUGUGAGAGAGGGCACACUCACAAUGAGGCUGGAUGAUAAACAGGUAGUUUUUAAGGUAUAAAAACCACUCAACACAAUAUCCCACUACCAAGAUUUGUUCAUGAUUAUGGUGAUUGAAGGGGAUAAGUGUUUGGUGGUGGAUUUUAUUCCAUAAAAGACCUCUUCGAACUUUCUCAUUAAGAAGACCAAGCUUCCAAUACGACAUCCUGACAUGAUGCAAAUUGAUGAGCCUAAAAAGGCUAAAGUUAAGAAAGUUGUUAACCUUGAAAGUUCCCACUCAAUAGGUCAGAAACAAAAAAGAAGAUGGCGUCCUAUUGGGAGAAAGAGGAUGAAGGAAAAUGAAUAAUUCAUAGAUUGGGUCAUGUCGUGACACUAAAUCAGGAGCUGCUUAGAAGGCAACCAAAGUUAAGGUAGCUGUUAUUUUUAGUAUUUUAGUUUUUACUUUGCUAGUUUUUAUUUUUGUUGAGUCAUAGGUUAAUGGUAAGUCUGAGUACCAGAAAACCUGCGCUAAGGAGCAUCGAGAAUACUGAGUGAGGGGUCCCCCAGUCCCUCUUGAUGUAUAAAGAUGCUACUAGCUAGGCCUAGAGGCCUCAGGGAGUUUUUCUAUCUUUACUUUUAAAUUAUACUUUGGGGACAAAGUAGAUUUUUAAGAGUGAGGUAGGGAAAUUCCCACUUUUAGGAGUUUUUUUAAAAAAAUUGUGUGAGAUGUUCUUGUUGGUACUAUAGUUGAUUACAAGAUGCAAGUGUUUUUGUUGUAAAGAGCAUGUUGAUUGUGUGAAUUACUACUUUUGAAACUCUUAGUCUCAUGAUUAUGACUAUUAUACUUGUUGGCUUAGUAUUAUUCAUGUGAUUGUUUAGUUGAAAAUCUAUGAUGAUCUUACUUGAGUUGAGCAUGUGCCAUGUAUGUGUGAGGGGUUGUGUAUUUGUGAUACCUCGAGUUUUCCCGUUAAGUAUUUUGCUCCAAAAUGUGUCGAGUCAUUAAAGCCUUUUUAUCUUUCAUUAAGAUCUCAGACGAAAAUGUGUUAAAUUCUGUUCUUUAUCGUAAUUAAUAACUUUUCUGUGUGAAAUUUCUGGAUAUGCGACCCGUCAUCGCGUAGAGAAUCGAAUAAUCUUUCCAACAAUAUGUGGAUCAUCCAAAACGGAUACUCGAGUGAUGAGUUAUGAUCAUUCUGAUCUAACCAUGAAUACUGGUGAACAGUAAAUGUGCAGGAAAAAAAUACUGAGGCCAGGCAAAUUUUAGGGUCAAAUUCAAACGAUCAUAACUCCUUGUACAUAAUGAUCUGGGUGAGCUACUAUAUAUCAACAGAAAUCUCUGAGAGUCCUCUUUCCAAUGAAAUUUGUUUCAUCUAGUUUGUCCAUCGGAGCAAAAAGUUAUGGUCGACCAAAGGAUAGAUUUGACAUUAUUUGAUUUUUAAGGGUAUUUUGGUCAUUCCCACUCCAAUCGAUCCGGGAAAACCAUGGAUUUAAGUCCAUUAAGAGCAUUCAAUAGCUCAUUUUUCUCCAAAAUUUCCCAAGGGUCAAACUCCAACCCUACUACUCCAAAUUUCAUCAUUUUAUGUCUCUUGAUUGAACUGUAAGAAUUUCAAAUUGAUUUAGGAUUCGAGUUGAUCAUGCUAAGGGCUUCGAGAAGCACCCUUUAUUUUCGUGAAUAAAGUUCCGAAGUCGGAAGUUCAUAUUCAUUUUCCAUUUUUAGGUAUGUGGGGCUUUGAACAAGAUUAUCCUUUUAAUCUUGUGCCAGAUAUUUUUGUUGAAUUACAUUGACAUGAGAUUUUACAUGUUUUAACAUGAAUUAGAAAUAUGGUUUUAUAUCUUAUAUUAUUGUCCAUGAGCUAUGGGAUUAGGUCAUCCGAUAUGUGUAUGAUGUUGAGAUGGAAUUAUGUCCAAAAAGUAUUUGAUUAUGAGAGUAUGAUGAUUUAAUUUGUUAAGCCUUGAUUUAUACUAUCAUUCCACUAUUUUCUUAUUACAAAUUUAUAAUUGAUGUUGGAAAUUCUAUAUCCCUACUAUGGGUUAUGUCUCAAGUACCUUUAAAUGAGAGUUGGAUGGCAAAUUGAGAAAUGUUGAUAUUGAAGUUGCAAUGAGUCUUGGUAUUUUUCGGAUGGUUUUGAUGAGUUAAAUUGUUGAAAAUAUUAUGUAUUGAGUCUUCAUAUCCUCAUCCAAAUUUUGAGUCGGUUAUGGUUCAAAGAAUUGAUACCCUUUUGAUGUUGAGGAAGAUUAAAAUGCUUUGAGCUAAAAUGUGUUGUGUUAGGAAUCCACAAAUUGAUAUGAUUUGAUAAAUGAGAAAGAUAUUUGAUUUGGUCUUUAUGAUAGACCCUUGUGAUGUUAUGGUGGAUUUCCCAACGCUUUCUAAUCUUGUCGGGGAGUAGUACUUAGCACCGGGAGAAAAAUUUGGUAUUUCCCCAAACCUAUGUGNNNNNNNNNNNNNNNNNNNNNNNNNNNNNNNNNNNNNNNNNNNNNNNNNNNNNNNNNNNNNNNNNNNNNNNNNNNNNNNNGAUAUGAUAAUUUAUGAUGAUUUAGGAUGAUUUAUCAUAAUUUAUGAUUUAUAAUGAUUUAUGUGGAUUACAAGAUUUUAUUAUAUGAACUAUUUAUUAUGAAAUUACAAAAAUUAUGAUUUGAUAUAACUCAAGCCAAGUGAGUCAUCAUUAUCCAUAUGCAUGUUUUCAUGAAAUUGAUUAUACUAUUUAUAUUGUUGCAUGCACCCCCACAUACUCAGUACAUUUCAAAAUGCUGACCCACAUAUUUUCAUGGGUUACAUUCUUACCAAAAUGUAGGUACAAACUGUAGCGCACAUAUCAUGUUCAACUGGUUCGCAGCUCUCGAUCGGCAGGUGAUUAGUCCUUUUGAUUCAGGGACUUGAGUUGUUCAGAUUUGAGGUGUAUUGUAUUCUGUAUUCAGUCGUAUUGAGUAGGAGUAGUUGGGAGUCAUGACCCGGCUAUCUUUGGUUAAUGCUAGUAGAGGCUUCAUAGACAGUCACUAGUAGUCAGUGUAUUCAGUUUCAGAUUUGUAUAUAUAUGAGCAGAAUUAUGACCGUGUAAAUUUACUUUCAUGUUGGUCAGACUAAGUUAUGGGUUGUUUCUGAAUUAUUCCUUCUAUUUUAUGUAUUUUAUUCAGUUUCUUGGGGUUAUGCCAGAUGAAGAGUUAGCUUGGGGUCACUUGUGACCUUAAGCACCGUGGGACGUCUCGAGAUCCGAUUUCGGGGCGUUACAGUAUUCCUUGUUGCAUGUGAUGUAUAGAACUUGCCUGGUGUGUGUGGAAAGCAAAAUAAAGAGUGUGGGUUUAGGAGAUGAUAUAGACAUUUCUUCAAUGGCCUUGUUUCGUACUAUCUUUUACCUACCAUUAUACAUAAACCUAGUUAGCCCCAUUGAGCCUUCAACUUAUUUUCUUUGGCCGCCUCAUAAGUAGCCUAAAUCCCCUUGUUUGACUGACCAUAAUUUGAUCCAAAGCUCCUGAGUGCUUUAGUUGAAAUCUAAUUAAGUUAAGGAGUUGGAAACUCAAGAAGGAAAAGAUGAAAUUGAAGCCCCUAACUAAUGGCUAUUGGUAUUCUAAAAUUUGAUGUGUUGUGGUUGGGAGUGAAAAAAAAAAUUGUGCUAAAAAAUUUAAGCAUGAAUUAAAAGACAAUACUCUCACCAUAUUUUAUGUGAAUGAUCUUAAUGAGAUGGGGUAAAACUAUGUAUAUGUGAAGAGUGUAGAGGUGAGAGUAGGUUAUUAAAGCGCUUAGGGAAGAUAGUCACUAUUACUGGCCAGAAUAGUUCCUCCCCGUCCCUUAGCCUGCAUUAUAACCUGUAAAGACCUAUUUGAUCCUAAGCUUAACAUUCUGAUAUUAGUGGAGCACUACACUAAGGGCAAGCAUAUGUUUCAUUAUUUGUAACUUGUGAAUUCUUUGUGAGAGUGAGUGCAAUUUUAUUCUUAUACCCAUUGUGUACAAAUGAAAUUAUUGUGAGUGACUAUGGAUAAUAAUUGUGAGGGCACAUGUUUGAUGAUAGUUGGGUAAUUUAUAUGAUGUCUUUGAUUGAACAAAAUGUGUGAGUUUUCCAACUAAGUGAGUCAAUUCUUGAGGCUAGGACAUUUUGGAGUAGUGUUCUUGAACUUUCAAUUGUGUACAUAACAUGCUUAGUUUAGAAACUUGCAUUCUGCAUAGUCAGUAUAGUGAUUGGGUAAGUAUCUUGAUUGUAUUAGAAGUGUAGAGUCAUACCAGUUUAUUAUUCUUAGAGUAAGGAGUUGUUCAAGGACAAACAAAGCUUUAAGUAUGGGGUGAUGAUCUGAGGUGUGUUUUAUGCACUUUGGUGUUGUUAUCCUAGCUUAUUUAGCCUAGUUUGAGGGAAAUUCAUUUGAUUUAUGUGUUAAUGAUGAUAUAAAUAAGCAUAUGUGUUUAGGUAUGUGAUUGUAAUGUUUAAAGGUGUUUUCAAACAAGUUUGGGAUCAAAUCGAUCAUUUAGAGUCUAGACGAGAAAGCUAGUUUUACUAGCUUGAGCUAGGUGAUGUUCUAGUCUAUCGCGAUGGAUUCUAAUGUGUUGAAUGAGUUCAUAAUGGUUGUAUUGUGUAAUUAUUUGUGGGAAAUUUUUUUUAUAGUGUUUAAAGUAUAAUUGAAUCAAGCCAAGAGUCAAAACCAAGUUAAAGAUAAAAAGGGCCAAAACUAGUAUUCUUAGCUUAAGUUUCUAGUUCGUCGUCUUGGAUGUUGUGUUGUUUUGAGCUCUAAUUUGUUGUGUUUAAUGCUAUAUUAUGCUUGUUGAGUUGAUUAUUAUGAUAUAUUAAGGAUAUAAAAGCCUCAAAUCAAGUGGAAACAACACUUAAAGGCUUGAAAUGGAUCAACGAAAGCACAAGACACAACAUGACGCGAAUUGGACAACUUGGAUAUCAAGGGCACGCCGCGAUCUCAAACCAAGGCCAACUGGCGCAUUCCACACAUGGUUGGCUUACUAAGGGACCCAAAAUAGUGUCUCCAUGAUAUUGGCACAUCGCGUAAUUAGACACGCAAAAUUAUCCCUGCAACGCAGCCUAGUGUAAAAAUGCAGCAGUUUUAUCCCCCUAUAAAUAGGACACUUGUACUUGAUGUUAUACACCUUGGACGACUUUGAAAUUUGGAGAGGGGAUGGAAAACACUUCAAUUAGAGUUUUUCUUCUUUAACUUUAGCUUUUUAAUUCUUCAAUUAGAGUUUUUCUUCUUUAACUUUAGCUUUUUAAUUGAUUUUAUCAUGUAUUCAUAUAUCUUGAUUACAGUUAUGUCUAUUAGUGGCUAAAAGCCCUCUUUCUGGAGUUAAAGGCAAGAACAUGAUUUCUAUUGUUCGAAAUUGAAUUUGGUUAAUUUAUUUAUCAUACCAUGUUGUUUAUUUACCCUUUUCAUCAUUAUGAUAACGAUUUUCGAUCCUUAGGAUAUACUUAUUGUCCUCUUUGUGAAAUCGGAGGACAGGGGGAAUAAGAUGAUAGAAUGCGGGGUAAGUAGAGUAAGGUUCUUAUUCCUUUAUGAAAUAAGAAAUUUAAAUUAGAAUAAGGUUCUUAUUCCUUUAUGAAAUAAGGAAUUUAAAUUAGCAUCUAGGAUAGAGAUAUACCUAGAAACCUUUUUUGGUUUACUAUGGGAUGAAAUAUAAAUGUGUUUAGCUUAGUGCUCACAUCCCAGCUCAAUGAUAUAGUUGUGAAUCUGAGUUAGAUAGGUGGUUAGAGAUCGGGAUACCAUUAUCAUAAAAUAAACCCCGUGAAUCAUCAACCAAGAUAAAUAACUUAACCAAUGAAGUUUGAAUGCAUAGUAUGAAUCCCGGGUCUCUAUUCACUGAUUGUCCAAAGUCAUUACUUUUACUCAUUGUUUAAUUUACUUUUAGUUAUAACUCUCAAACUCUCUCUUAGUUAUGUUGCUCUAAUUAAUCUCAAUAGUUAAAUUAGAAUUGGAUAGUUGAAUAACACAAGUCUUAGAGUGAUCGAUAUUCAGCUUUAUUUAAGGCCUCUGUAUUACUUGGUGAGACAACGUACACUUGUGUGUGCGGCGCAAUAGUCUUCACUUAUUCUUCAAUCUACUAAGCAAAUACCCCGUGUCAUGGUCUUCCAAUAAGCUUACUAAGAGCAUCUAUCCAUUUAGGAAAAGCUUAACCUCUGAUAUGUAUAUGGAUAUCAAUUUCCCUACGUACUUUCUCCUGUUGAAAGUUACCCUCCUGGAAUCUAAGCAUAUUCCUUUCUCUCCAAAUAGUAGAAUCCACCAUAGAAAAAGUGUUGCUUAUCACAGCACCUAGACCAGACGUUCAUUUAGCCUAACUAUUUUCCUAGGUCAACUUAAAUUGACAACAUCCAAUGGAUCUGUGGACUCCCUACUAAGCUAGCAUUCUCAACCAUAGUGCCUUAGUGAUGGACACUCAAAACAUAUGUGAUUUAUUAACUCCAUAUAAGAAUUAGAUAAGUUGCACUGUAAUGGUACAUGAAUAUCAAACUGCAGUCUAUCAGUUGUAGCAAGUCUCUUCCAGGCUGCUUGCCAUAAUGUGAAUUUAUGUGUAGGAUGGAUAGUUGGUUAUAGAGCAAUACUCUUUUACAACACCUUCUAAUAGUUAGGUAGCAAGCUUAUAUACAUCUUUUUGAUAAAGAACUUCCCAUUUAUAACUAUCAAUCUCAAUCUAGUUGAGAGAUUACCCUACAGGUUCCCAACAUCCAUUACAAACUUCCUCUUCUCUAAUAUCUUCCUUAGCACCCAAGUAGCAUUUGAGGGAAUAGGACAUUCUUCAGCACUUAUCCUUUUCUAUAGUAUUCAUUCAGCUAUUUUAUCCAUAAGCAUUAUUUCUUCACAGUAACAACCCACAACAGUUUUAAAAUAGUAGAACAAUUCUAAAUUCCCAUAUUAAUAAUGUUGUGACCUCCUACAGCCUUUGGAAAACAAAUCUGCUUCCAUAAAAUUAAUUAUUUCCUUGAUCUAGCAGUAGAGCCAGUCUAGAGGUAAGUCCUACAGACCUGAUAUUUCAACUUUAGAAUUCUCUUAGGCAGCAAAAAGAUUUGAGUCCAGUAAAUUUGAACACUAAAUAGGACAGAUUUGAUAAACUGUGUUUUGCCUGCAUAAUGGAGAACUUUUUCUGACCAGCACCUGAUUCUCUCAUUAAUCCUCUCAACUAUAAGUAUACAUUGUGCAAUGAUCAAUUUUUUUAGGACAAGGGUACCCCAAAAUACUUAAUGGGAUUUCACCCUAAUGGUAUCCUAAUAUGUUCAAGCUAUCUUAUUUUAAAGUAGGUUUGACCCCAUCUAUGUUUAUAGAACUUUUCACAAUAUUAUCUUUGAGUCCUAAGGCAGAAAAGAACCUGUUAAAAUCAUCCUGAAGUAAUUGAAUUGAGGUUAUAUUAACCUUGAAAAAUGGUAAAAGAUCAUCUAUAAAGUAGAUGUGCACCACACCUAAUUUUUUACAUGUGGGUUGGUAUGGAAAUACUUUAUUAAGACCCAACUAUACAAGCUCUCAUUGAAAAUACUCCAUUUCCAGCACAAAAAGGAGAGGGAACAUGGGGUCUUCUAGCCUUAUACCUCUCUUCCCCAAAAAGUAGUUAGACCAUAAAAUAGCUAAGGGAAUAAACUAUUGAGAUGAUACAUUCCAUUAUCUAAAUAAAUUUUCAUGGAAACCCCAAUUCAGCAAGAACACUUUGCAAAAACCUCCAUUCAAUUAAGUCAUAGGCUUUCCUUAAGUCCACCUUCAUCACACAUCUUAUGGAUAAGCCUCUCCCUCUAUUCCACAUUAAUACAUUACUAAAUAAAAUAUUUUCUAUAAUACUCCUACCUUCAAUAAAAGCGGGCUGAGUAGGAUAAAUGACAUGGCCGAUCACCUGUUUGAUCCUAUUUAACAAGACCUUUGUAACAAUUUUAUAGACUAUUGUACAGUAAGCUAUAGGUCUCCAAUCUUAAACCUGGGAAGGUUUAGGGACCUUAGGGGUAAGAGUAAUUGUUGUAACACUAAAAGCCUUCGUCAUAGCACCUAUCUUAAAGAAUUAUUUCAUUAAAAUGAGGAAAUCAUCCUUAAUAACUGACAAGUUUUGAGUAAAGAACUCUGCAGGGAAUCCAUCAACUCCUGGAGCUUUAUCUGCUAGUAAGCUUUUAACAGAAUCAAGAAUCUUAAUUUCUAUCAUAGUAUCCACUAAGCUGUAUUUUUUAGUAUAAGAUAAUCAUUGUCCAUCACUGAUAAAAGCAAAAUUUGGGAAAGGUAGAAUAUCUGCUUUAGACCCCAUCAAACUAAAGAACCUUAUAAAUUCAGCCUCACCAAGCUUUGGAUCCUACAGUUUCCACCCCAAUGAAUCAAGAAUUGAAGUUAUUGCAUUCCUACUGGCCCUGAUCUUCACUUAAGUAUGGAAAAACUGAGUGUUAGUAUCACCACAUGCUAUCCAAUUUACCCUUGAUUUCUACUGUAACACAUUUUCCUCCACUUCACUCUAUUUCUUGAUAUCACCAAGCAAUCUUUUCUCCUGUUAUAUUAGACUGGGGUUCAGAAGACUAUUGCAUGAUAAAUCCCAUGUAAUUUCCAACUCACGCCUUUCUUGGGCCAGCUUUUGACUUCAAGAGACUAUAUGAGUAUUCAACUUAUUUAGGCAUUCAACUUAUUUAGGCCAUACUUUAUAGCUUUCAACUUUUUCCACAAUCUAUUUAUAUAGGUUCCAGUUUUCUUCUGGGGUCAUACAGUCUAUAAGAUGCUCUCAAAGUUUUGAUGGUUUAGCACUACUUUAAAUAACUUAAAAGGACUUAUAUUAGAAUGGAUAGGUGGGCAAACCUGGAAAAGAAUUGGAGAGUGAUCAACAUUCCAAGGAGCAUGUAGUCAACCUCUAGAUGAAUAUAAUUACUCAUCCACAACAUGUUGCCAAGUCUUAUCAAUUUUGGAAUAGACCCUACUAUUGUCUUGUUGCUUAUUACAGAAGGUGUAGUGACACCCUAUAUCCCUAAGGGUUGUAAGCUACAAAUUAUCUGCACGGUGUUGAAAGUCUUAAGACUCAGUUGGUAGGAUUUAUGAGCCUAACCUAUCAGAAUUAGUCAGAACAUUAUUAAAAUGUACAGCCAAUAAACAACUACUUCAGAUUAUAACACCUAAAGCUAUUAACUCCUGCCAUAAUUGUUCUCUUUGAACUAGUCCAUUACUAGCAUAGAUUACAUUGAAUUUAUCUUGAAAAUCAAUAGCCUUGUCACUAAGAAAACAGGGGACAACUUGCUCUAAAACCAAUUGUAUCUGCACCAGCGCUAUGUUUCUCCAUAGGAGCCAUAGCCUACCAUUGUAUGUUAUAGGAUAGUUGCAGCAAUGAUCUCAAUUAGUAACUAUUUUGCUAAAGAUAUUUUGAGCUCUAUUCUUUGUUACUGUAAUCUCUAUGAUCCCCAUUACAUCAACUUUAUUAUUAUUUAGAAAGUGCUUCAACUCCUUCUGUUUUAAGGGCUGGUAUAUCCUUCUAAUACUCCAUGUUACAAUUCUCAUGAAGGGUGAAGACCCAAGGGGUCGCUGGUAAUUGAAAAAGUAUCCACUGCUAAACUUUAAAAGCGGUUAAGCACUAGUAUUGGGGGUUGCAAAUAAGAUUUUUGUUGGGGAGCUGUCUGCACCAUUUCAAUAGUGGUUGGUCUUUUCCUAUUCAUUGAGAAUUCAGGAGAUUCCUUAGAAGUUGUUGCCGGUUCUUGUCCCACUUAGUGAUUCACUUUCUCAACUGGUAAUACCAUUCUUCUUUUCCAUAAGGGUGAUUUAGGUUUCUAUUCUUUCAUUUCUUCUUCUCCUCCUCCUUAAACUCUAUGUCCUCAUCUCCUUCUCCCACAUUAUUCUGAUAUUCCUUCGUAUCAUGACCAAAUUUCAUAAAAUGCUUGCAAAACUAUGGCCUCUAAUCAGAUUCCAUAGUUUGCUGAAAUUCCCCAUAAGGGAUGGAGAUGUCAAUUAUCUCAACAAGCACCUAGGAAGCAUAAACUUCCAAGAAUAUGUGUGCAUAUGAGAUCCUUGUAAUGGAUGUUGUAAAGUUAUUUGUAUACAGGGGCCUUCCUAUCGCACCAGCAAGUUUAAUGAAAGAGUCACUAGACUAAUACCCUACCUAGAGCCCUGGUAUGGAGACCCAUAGAGGAACGGUAGAGAAAUAAUCAGUGUUGAACUCAAAAGUUUAGCACCCAACGUUGGAAAACAAAGGGUUGGUUUUGGAAAGUGUAAGGGCCUGCCUAUAGAAUUUGCUCACUCUAUUAAGUUGAUUCAAAAUGAAACAAAAAUAUCCCUCAUCAUGAAGCACAAUUUUAGUGAUGCUCUCUAUUUUCUAGAAAUUCCUAACAUAAUUCUCCAUUGUUUUCAUUUAAGGGGUAUCUCCAACCACAUAAGCAGUAAGGGCAGAGCUCAACUAAUUCUGAAUAUUUAAAUAUAACUUUGCCCUCCAUACAUAGUUGGAAGAAAAUAGGAUAGAGAUUUACCUCGUUGUUCUAAUUUAGUAGCUUCAUGUCCUGCUGGUUUGGUGUUGUUUUUGUGGCUUUUGGGGGGUUAUUAGAAGCAAGCUGCAAAAUUUCAAUCUAAAAAUAGCUAUUUGCAAUUCUAAUAAAAUACCCCUAUAAGGUUUUAACUGGAUAGUUGCAGGAGAGACCGAAUCUAAACUUUAACCUUCAUCUUCUAUGGCAGCAGAUUGAAAUUGAGCUAGGAGAUAUCUACAGAAGGUGAUUAUAGAGUGGCAGCAAUCUCUUCCAAUGAUCGGUGUAAUCAAUUUCCCACUCGAGCUUAAGCCUUUUCCUGAAUAACUCUAUUUUCCCAUGUUAUUUUCCAAUCAUUUCAUGUUAGCUUUCCAUGUUAAGAUGUGUUAAUAAAAGGUAAUGAUCCUGCUUAGGAUGAUUGAUUUUAUUUAACUAGUAGUGAAUGUAUAAAAUUCAUAUGAUGCCAUGCAUGUUAUAUCGAUCAUGUGAUAGAUAGCAUCUUAUAAUUGUGGUUUGAAAAGGUUGGGAAUAAAAUACAGGUUAGGGGAAAUAAGGUAGAGAUUAUGUCCCAACCUAUUAUGCUAUAGCAGCCUACAUGUCGUUAUCCCUGCACCGCUACAGCGGGAAAAUUUCUACUACGGCAGGGUCGCAGUAGCAAGAUAGUGUCUGCUACCCUUAUGCUAAAACAAUGUUUACCACCCUUAACCCAAUGUCCCUAACCUUAUACCCCUGAAUUUUACCAUCCAAUGACAAUGACCUUUACUUGUUCAUCUUACAUAUAAAUCCAUGCCACAAUAAAUACAAUUAAAAUAUGAGGUAAUACAACCACACUUGCAUUUCAAACAAGUCUUUUUACAUAAUCUCAUUUUAGCUGAUUAAGAAACUUGUAAUGCCAUCUAACAAGUCAAUACACAAAUCAUGAAUUAUAAUAAGUAGUCAAAGAGGCAGCUAAAUAUGCACAUAUGAACUAAAUUAAUUCUCAACUUUAUUCAACCAUCACCUACCCUUUUGUAUUAAAUAUAAUAUCCGUUUAGAAUAGCACAAAGAAUAAGUACACACACAUAUAGUCUUAGAACUAACCUUAGACUACAAUAUCUACAAAAUCAUACAACCAUUCUAUGCCACACUUCAUAGUUUCCAAUUUCUUAUCUUAUUUAUAGUUCCCUGCCAUUCACUAAAUCAAUCCAUCGAACUAAGAACAGGACAUUAAUAUCUAAACUACAAACACCUACUCAUGUAUCCACACCACAUUACCUUAACCAAAUAAUUCUGCUCAUUAAUCGAGUAAUUGAGCACAAAUAAUAUACAAAACUCAUUCAAGAAAAUUUAUCUUAUUCUUACAACCCAAAUAUAUUGGUUGUAUCCAUCCAAACACCUUUCCCGCUGCCAACACAUGGAAUCUUCCAUCAAUAUAUGUGAUGCAUACGUUUUAUAGCACAGGUCUGUGCUACUCAAUUAAACCUAGCCUACCUGGACAUGAAAAAGUUGAUAUGGAGAUAUGAACUUGAGAUUUUGGCUCCGUUCUUUUGAUUUCCAAAGUGAAAUCCAUGAGAAAGAAUUAGGUUCUACUGUGUCCGAGCAUACUUCUUCUUCUUCAUUGCUCUAGAGCUAUAAGGCCACCCUAGGGUUUUUUAGAAUAAAGCACAAUCCUCUUUUACAAUUUAAGAAAGGACGAACAAUAAAGAAAAAUUGGGACUAUUUCUAGUUCUUGAUGUCCUGCUAUAGCAGCCUGCAGGCUACUACCACGACGUCUCUAUAUUGAGAUGAUGUGGG
Molecule: long non-coding RNA, 56581 nt
Filed under: Capsicum annuum
Lineage: Eukaryota; Viridiplantae; Streptophyta; Magnoliopsida; Solanales; Solanaceae
Description: long non-coding RNA (CANN_LNC017591)
Source: RNAcentral